RNAcentral lists this long non-coding RNA (45245 nucleotides) under Musa acuminata (dwarf banana). RNAcentral describes it as "long non-coding RNA (MACU_LNC006803)". Lineage: Eukaryota; Viridiplantae; Streptophyta; Magnoliopsida; Zingiberales; Musaceae. The record is from RNAcentral.
GUGGAGGGGGUUAUCAGAGUCAUCAAUCUUUAUGGAGGGGGCCAUAGGUGAGAAUGGCAAGGGCAAAAGUCGCGUGGGCAUGGUGACGACGAUAGAAAAAGAGGGGACAAGAAGCGAGGGUAAAAGGCGAUGGUGUGAGAUAGAGGCGAUGGCAAAUAGGGUGGAGGUUAGGAGGGCAAUAUCAUCUUUAAAAAAAAAAAGGAGUGCUCUAAGAAAUUUUUUGAAAAAAUGAAUGUUAACCGAUAAUUUCUCAAAAUAAAAAGCCUUUUCUACAAAAUUGUCUAAAGCAAAAAAAAAAAAAAAAAAAAGCCAAACAACGUGGACAUAAAAGGAAAUGAACAGAAAAGACAUUCUUUAUAUAUCAUGACAUUCUCCUAGUGAUUUUAUUAUAUUAUUAUUUUGAUAUUAAUUAAACAUUAUAUCUACCAUUCCUCUCCAUGUUUAAAUAUCUACCAUCAAGAAUGUGAUAAAUCUUAUCCCCACACCACCAAUAAUGAUUCGACCAUGAAUUAUCUUUCCUAAUAAGAAAUAUAACUCAAAUUAUGUAUGUACACUUUCUUGGUUUCAUCCAUCGGGUCCAAUCUCUCACCAAGAUGAUGCUAUAAUUGAGGAAGUGAUUGAUGAAAUGCGUCAUGUCAUGUAGGGUUCCUAUCAAAUCUCAUGAUCUCUCGUUACCAAACUUUCAACAUGCUCUAAAAAAAAUUAAAAUUGGCCUCAAAAUUUACGAUAAUAGAUUGAUGCUAGAAAAAGGAUUAAAAUAUCAUAAGAAAUCAUAUUGAGAUUUUGUAUGAUCAUUCAAAAGAUCCUAUGCCUCAAUCAAGAAUGGGGUUGGCAAACCAUUCUUCUCAUUGUUUGAAACAUCUAAGCAUCAAGAAUGGGUAAGCAUCUAUGUAAGUAAAUCUUGUACCCACACCACCAAUAAUGAUUCCUUCAUGACCAUGGAUUCUCUUUCCUAAAAGAAGUUUAACUCAAAUUACUGUACAUGUUUCAUCCAUAAGGUCAUGUCUCUCACCACCAAGAUGAUGCUCUACACCAUCUCCUUCUCCAUCACUGACAUAACUGGCAUCAACAUAAUAGAAUGAUACCUCAUAAGAUGAGUUGCAAAGAUUAAAGAGAUUUUUGAUAGGAAUCUCCAACUUUUGUUACCCCCAACUUUGAAAUUUUUUUAUCUAAGAAUUGGACCUUGUGGAGUAUGUGUUACUCCCACCGUAAUAAGUCCUUAAGAAGUCUACGUAGGUUAUUCCUCUACUUGUAUUACACAAAGGUAUUUUUAUUAGUCUAAAAGAAAAAAAGUGAGAAGAUAUCCCGCACAAAUCUCUACCCGGUAUAUUAUAAUUAAUACUGAGUUAUUUGGAUGAAGAUGGGGCUAAUUAUAUAUUUUUCACCUUUAAUUAACUUUUUAUGAUCUCAUUGGUUGUUUGCGGAUCUUAUUAUCAAGAAGUGUAUCCAUGACCUCUUGUAUCAAUUUCUUUUGAUACAUUACUAAUUUUUCAGACGUAGAUCUACUUAUUACUAAUAGGUCGAUAAGAGUAUUAUUCCGAUAGAUAGCUCGUGUAUAGAGUCUACUAAUAUCCAAUUCAUCCUUAUAUAUAUUAAAAAUUAUUAAAAAUUAUAAAAUUAUUAAUCAAAUCAAAUUAAUUGAUGUUGAACCGAUUAGGUUAGCUAAAUUCAAAUCAAUUCCAUACAUAUGCAUGCAUCUGCUAUGUACUCACCUAACUAAGCAUGGUCGGCUACGUAUGUACUCACCCAACAACUACGGCAGCAUGUUUGGUCUGCGGAUUGUUUCUGGGUAAAGAAGCAUCAAAAUGGUGUAGAUGUCUGAGGCUAUCAGCAGCAACACGUACACAAUCAUUUGUUUAGAUGGAGCGUUGAGGUUUGAGACGAGAGGGAAGAAGAGAGCGUGCGGCCACGACUCGAAGAGGCAAUAUUGCAUUGCCUCGUUGCAUUCUUAUAUCAUUGCCCGCAGCAUCGUGUGGAGAGAAAACGAGACAGCAAAGGCACCUCCAUGAGGAAGCUGUGCCCGAACCUGGACCGAGAAGAUGGACUGGACACCGUCCUCGAAGUGCCCCUCCCGGAGGAGAUGUUCCUCUCCGGCGACAGCUCCAAGAGCAGCAAGAUGCUCUGCAUCAACGUGAAGGCGUGGAUGCGGCCGCACGCCGACCCGUCCCCGCCGUGGCCCGUUGGCCGGGAGGCCGAGCUCCAGCUCCCGCUCCUGCUUGGUAUCCUCGGCGCCCCGCUCGUCCCGUUCCCCGUCCGGUCACAUAAACCCACCCUCGUCCGCGGCAUGAAGGAGGCCCCGAUUGUGAGACUCCGAUCUCGGUGCUUCUCGACAUGGACAGAUACAGUGCUCGUCUUGAUGUGGUGUCUUACGCGGUUCUCCUUUUGCGUGGAUGGCAGGAAGUCUCCAUGGCUAAAUAUAUCCUGCAGCAAUACAUCGCGGCGUCGGGAGGGGAGCGAGCGUUGAACGCGAUAAACAGCAUGUACGCCAUGGGGAAGGUCCGGAUGAUGGCGUCGGAGUUCCCCAAGGGGAACGGGGGCGGAAAGAGGGGCAAGAAAUGUGGCGGCGCAGUGGAGACGGGCGGGUUCGUGCUGUGGCAGAAGAAACCAGACCUGUGGUGCCUGGAGUUGAUGGUGUCCGGGUGCAAGAUCAGCGCCGGGAGCGACGGCAAGGUGGCGUGGAGGCAAACCCCAUGGCACCAGUCUCACGCCUCCCGUGGCCUACCUCGACCUCUUCGCCGAUCUCUUCAGGUUCGCCACCGCACGCUCUCUCUUCCUUAAUGUUCUUCUGUCCUUGGCUGCCAUGGCGCAGCUAAGAUUCACAUAAAACCGGAAAAGUCUAACCAACACCUUCUUCAUCGUCUGUCACAGGGUCUUGAUCCGAGAUGCGCGGCCAACUUGUUCGCCAACUCGGUGUGCCUCGGGGAGAAGACGAUCAACAGGGAGGACUGCUUCGUGCUAAGGCUGGACGCGGAGGCCGCCACCUUGCGAGCCCGAAGCAGCAGCGGCGUGCAAAUCAUACGGCACAGCUUGUGGGGGUACUUCAGCCAGCGGACGGGCCUCCUCGUCCAGCUCGAGGACUCCCACCUCCUCCGGAUCAAGUCCGCCCAGGAGAACGUGUACUGGGAGACCACCAUGGAGUCGCUCAUGGAGGACUACCGCCCCAUCGACGGCGUCAACAUCGCCCACACCGGGCGAACCACCGUGUCCUCGUUCCAGUUGGGCGAGGCCAGCGAGGGUCACACGCGGACGCGGAUGGAGGAGACAUGGACCGUGGAGGAGGUGGACUUCAACAUACGGGGGCUCUCCAAGGACUGCUUCUUGCCACCGGCGGACCUGAAGCUGGCGGGGCGACGGCCAUGAAGUGUGCUCGCACACGCUUCGGGGGCCAACCUGCCGUUGCUAGGAUCAGACUGUCGUAGGUGGCCGUAGAUGAACAAUUCGAUCACUGUCAGUACAUACUGCACCAACGUAUACAGUUUUUAGUGUGCUAAUUAAUUUAAGAUGCAAAUGAAUCAUAAUUCAGCCAAUGUCAAAAGGUCAAACCGGAAGAUAUCAUGGCAUUACACGUCGAGAUAGCUAAGAACAUACAAACGACAUUAAUACUCUACACUCACGUAUUAAUGCAGCAAAAGUACGGUGGAUUAAUCAACAUAAGCUAUUAAACCACACUGCUUGCUGUGGGAUCAGUGCUGAUAGAUUACAACUUCGAAAGGAACAUCUCUUCACAGUAUCGAGCACCUAUUAAGUCCAAGAGCCGCGAUGAUUCUUCUACCAGAAGGCCAUAAGCGACCAAGAAAUCCUAUCCGUUCAGGUUCAGGUUCAGGUUCACGUUCAUGUUCACUGUCAGUCACACCCCCAUCGAGAUCGGUCUUACUGAUAUCCUUUUCUGAGCCUGAAUUCUCAAUUUCAUUCUCUGCUUUAUCUGGAAUCUUGUCGUCUUUCACAUCACCUCCAACUUCAGCGAUUUCUCCGGGCUUCCUGUCAAAGAGCCCUUUGAAUUGCCUCUUUGCCUUCUUAUCUUCCUCCUGAUUCAACCAAAUGCACUAAUCAGUUGAUCAAUGUUUAUAUAAAUAUGAACACUUUAUGUACCACCAGCCAAAUACCUGUUCCUUUUGCUUCAGCUUUAGAAGGGCCGCAGUAGCAUCAGGUUCUGAAGAUUUAUCAAUGCUGAUCAUCUGGAAGGUUCAUUACAUGAGCAGAUAUUGGUUUUUGUUCUUAAGAUAUCAAAUGAAGGGAAGACACAGAGCAGGAAGGGGCAUGACUGCACCAUUUCAAAAUCUUUCUUCGCUUCAUCAGAAUCUCCAACUAACAUGUAAGCCAUGCCACGCCGAUACAACGCUUUGACAUGUACGGGACUAGCAUCUAAUACCUGCAAUUGGAAUCGACAAACAGCAGCUCAAAUUCAUCAUAAAUUAUGCCAUGCUAACGUGAACCUCAAUCAAAACACAGAAGUUGCACAAGAAGCAAUAUACAACAGAUAGUUGAUGCACAACCUGAUAUUAGUGCUCCAACUAGGACAGACAGCAAAACAAUCUACCGACUAAAAGCAAUACACUGACUGACACAAGAUCCAAGUAUCAUUUAAAAUAAGCCCAGUUAACUUCCCUAGUUUCUCAAUUGAGUUGUGCCUAAGCUACCCCCUUAAGAAUUUGCCGUAUAAGGUUGAAAUUCAUAUAAUCCAACUAAAUAUUUGACUAAUCAUACACCGGCAUAAAUGUUAGAUUUCAUUCAGAGGCUGCAACCAAUACUCCAAAUAGCAGAUGCUAAGGAAAUAAAACCUUUCUCCCACUAUUCCACUUGUCAAACACUUUGAACGGAUCUCGAGCUUGAACUGCUUGGGCUUGACUAAAUUUCGCUGUCAUCAUUCCCAUGGAAGUUGGCUUGUCUUUGGCCAGAUUUGAAACCAGGAUUGAUUAUGCUUAAUUUAGUGAACAGUAAAUCAAGUUUAAUACAUCUAGGCUGAAAAUUAAUAUUCAGCAUUUAGGUUAAAUGGAAGUUAUCAAGUAAAUCAAACAGGCUCGUGUUUGGUUAGCAUUGAAACUUAAAUAUUAAGUCAAGUUUCACUAAUAUUGAUUUCUGGACUGGUUUCAACCGAUUGUCACUCAAAAAUUGAAACAACGCAUUACAAGAGUCCUUGAAUCUACCAUUCAGCAUGAGGCAGUCAGUGUCUCAACUCUUCUUUACACCAGUUAUAGACUAGUCAGAUUGUUAAAAAUGAUAAAUAUUUCAUUCUUUAAUCAUAGCAAGUCUAAGAUGAUCAUGAAUUUCCAGUAAAUUCUUCAACAGAGACUCUGAAUAUCAAACUCCAUUACUCUGAAAAAUCCUGUGGGUAUUUGUACGCAUGAAUUUUGUUGCCAGAACUCAAAAAAUAUAAUAAUUUACCUUAUUGCAUGUCUCAAUUGAUUUUCUAAAUUCACCCAUUUUCUGGUAACAGGCUGCAACAUUCAAAUGCAAUGAAUUCUGCAAGCAUCAUCAAAAGGAGAACUAUAAAAUUAUACCACAGAUUUCCAAGACAGUAACAUUUGGCUGAUAGAUAUUGCCUGACUAGAGUACAGAAUUGUCUCACUCUUGAAUUCAAAAAGAUUUUUCCUUCAUCAUCGUCUUGUGGAUUUACAUGAUUAUAUUCCCGAAGCACCUGAAAAUAAUAAAAAGAAAUAAGUUUUCCCAUGACAUGAUUAAUAAAGACUAGGUCACUAGACCACAUAUAAACUAGAAUAGAUCUGUUUUUCUUUUACCAGGUAUUUUGUAGCACUACCAAUAUGCUAUCAAGUGAACUAUACAUGAGUAAAACCCUAUUUUAAUAAGAUGAUAUCAAUACUUCCAAGGAUGAGAUAGUUGACAUGGAGCAUAUUUUUCAUGUUAUCAGUACAAAACACAUACCAUUACCAAAUUUUCUUGAUGAACAACAGGAUCUCUAGAAGCAGCAUUUUGUGAUUUUAACAAAAUUAAAGAGAGAACAAUAAACUAAAAGAAAAAUAUCCAUCAAAGAUCACGGUAUCAUGUAAAGUGAAAAUAAACAAUCCAGAAAAAAGAAAAGCACACCUUUUGUUUGUUAGCUUGAGAAUGCACAGAGCCAGAGUAUGGAUGAUUUUCAGUAAACAAACCAAAAACACAGUAAUACAAAUGCAUGUAAAUAGAGUGAUCAAAAGAGAACAGCCAGGAAAGAAGGUACAACAUGACCUUUUGAGGACUACACUUUAUAUACAAAUGAAGCAAGUCAUUCAAAGUUCACCAAUACCCAAGACAUCAUAGUUUAUCAAAAUAUGCAGCAACACAAUCAAAUAAAUUUCAAUUAUAAGAUGGAUAACUUUGAAGUACAUUAAAUACUAAACAAUACCAAGGGGAUCAUACCUUCUCAUACUUCGCUUUAGCAAGUUCAUACUUCCCUUCUUUAAAUAGCCUGUUUCCCUGGAAGCAAAAAAGAAAACAAUCAGCAAUCACCAUUUUUUAGGUACAGUAGUAACCAUCAUUCUUGUGUAAAGAUUGAGGAACUCUAUACAGUCAAAAGCUGGCCUCUAAUACUUCUUUUGUAAAAGGUAACAGAGCACCAAUAUAAAGAUAACAAAUGAAGAGCCUAAAAGUGGCAUUUUUAGCCUGUUAUUACAAAAGGUUAAAAGGGCCUGGCGUCUAUUUGGCUGCCAGAAUAAACAUAUUAAUGAGAUAUAGAAUACCAACUUAAUUCAAGUGAAGCAUGCAUAUAAUAUACUUCGAACAUUUUAAAACCAAUUAAUGUUCUAUAAGUGCUAGAAUGGAAUACUUCUAUAGUUGAAUGGAUUUGAAUAAAAGGAUCCGUAAAAUAUUUGACAAAAGCAUGUAAACUACAACUUCAAGGGAGGAAGAUCGAAUAGUCAAAAUACAUACUGUGUUUUUUAUGUGCUCCGCAUCAUCCAUAAUCUCUUGAAAAGACAAUCCAGUCCAAUCCUGAUGCCAUAUAUGUAUUAAAGGUCAGUGACGUGAUUCAAAAAAACGAAAAAAAAAAAAAAACAGACUGAAUGAGAGCUUUGUUGAGACCAAUAUCACUGAUGAAACCAAUUUCAGUGUUCUUUGCAUGAUCAGAAAUCUUACUGAGCUUUGUUGAGACCAAUAUCACUGAUGAAACUAAGAGCUAUCAAAACCUUUAUUAUCAUUACUAAUAAUACUCUUAGGUCUUCCUCCACCUCUUUUUGCACCACUAGUUCAAACCAACCUAUGGUUGACUAUUAAUAACGAGGUUUAAGAGUAUAUCCUAGUAUGUUAAGACCUAUUCCAUAUAAUUGUGAAUUUUAACAAUAAAUGAGAUACAUGCCAAGGCCUCCUCAUACAGGUUUCCUGGAAUUAUGCUCACAUAAAAACCCAAAGAUUUUCUGAUGUCAAUGGCAGUAUCUUCAUGAAGUGUUCAAAAUCUUGAGCGAGAGGCUGCAAUACUCGAAUAGUGUUGUAUCAAAGACAAAUGAGAAGAAAACCGUACACAAAUGGAUCAUGAACUGAAAUGCAAUAUUAUUGGUAACUUAAACUUGAGAUGUCAUUCGUGUAAUCUGUCAACAUUAUCAUGAAAGAUGUUAUAUAUCCACCUUCAUUGAAGGAUAAAGCAGAGUGAGUUGCAUGCCAAAGAAGUGAUCUUUGUGAGUACUCUAGUGCAUCUAUAAAAUCAGAUAAAAGAAUCAAAAUUUUUGGAACUUUCAAGAGGUACCUUGGGCAUUUCAAAGUCAAGCAACUCGAUUUCCCACUGAACAUGAGCUCCUUCAGGAACAGUGGCAGGUCUGGUCAUGAAAUGAUCAUAUAAAUUUCAGUAACUAAGUUUCUAAAAACAUAGUGACUCAAUUUAGAAAAGUUAACCUUGUAAAUUUGUCAUAUGCAUAAUCUGGAGGGCAGGUAACAAGGGAUAUCUCUCCAGGAAGCAUUAGUCGAACACACAUUUCAAGUCCCUCAGGCACCUGAAGCAUGUUGGAAAAUUUAGAAAAAGCAAUAUUAAAUCAAUAUAGCAGUUUAAUAUCCAAAUAAGGAGUUGGAAACAGCACCACUGUUGAAGCUUAUCAAAAGCAAAGAGAUCUCACAUUGACACUAUAACAAAUUUUUACUUACAUCAUUACCAACGUAUAAAGAUUUAGCAAGUUAUGAUGGAAUAUGAAGUACCUUAUUUAGCUAAGUGUAAUCCACAGGUCACCUUUUUUAUGGAAUCUUGGGGGUGUGAUUAAAUAAUGACCACACGGAUACAAGCACAUGAAGAAAUAUGUAUGAAAGGCUUGAACUGAAGAUCUUCCCUAUGUACCUGCACUCACUACGUAGGUGUUUGGUUUAUCUGGACCUUUUCAAAAAACUUAACCAUUUCCAAUUAAGGUAAAACCAAUUUCAGUGUUCUUUGCAUGAUCAGAAAUCUUACUAGAGGAAUUACCUACAUUUAAGUGUGAGCAUUUAAUAGUUCAAUAGUUUAACAGUUUAUUCAGAUAAAACACUUAAAGAGAAAAGGAUACUACAGUCUAGUUAAUCUCCAAUGUCCACAUAUAAAGAUUUAGCAAGUUAUGAUGGAAUCUGAAGUACCUUAUUUAGCUAAGAGUAAUCCACAGGUCACCUUUUUUAUGGAUCUUGGGGGUGUGAUUAAAUAAUGACCACACAGAUACAAGCACAUGAAGAAAUAUGUAUGAAAGGCUUGAACUGUAGAUCUUCCCUAUGUACCUGCACUCACUACGUAGGUGUUUGGUUUAUCUGGACCUUUUCAAAAAACUUAACUAUUUCCGAUUAAGGUAAAACCAAUUUCAGUGUUCUUUGCAUGCUCAGAAAUCUUACUAGAGGAAUUACAUACAUUUAAAUGUGAGCAUUUAAUAGUUCAAUAGUUUAACAGUUUAUUCAGAUAAAACACUUAAGAGAAAAGGAUGGUACAAUCUAGUUAAUCUCCAAUGUCCACGUCUUGAAGUGAUGCCUCAGCAAUUCAUGCCAGAGGUUAAAAGGUAAAGUGCUUACAAGCCCUUCUCCAGAACUGAACUCCAAAGGCUGGCCAUAGUUAUCAACUCUAGUAUCAUAAAACACAGUCUUUUCUUCAUUAAGAAGAAUUCCCUUGUAGUGCACCCUCAGCAAGCUGUCAUGAAGAGGACAGUCCAUUGGAAAUUCACCUAUUCAUUUCCAAAGAUUCAUAAGUCAUAUAUUACACAAGAAUCUGAAACAAAGAGAUCUGUCAGUAAUGGCAUCUGAAGCUAAGAUUUAUACAUGAAGAUUCUCAAAUUAACCAAGGAAUAAGAGUAGAAGCAUAGUUUAUGUCAAACGAUAACUAAUUCAUAUGUCAUUACUCAGUAACAGAUUACUCAUUCAAAAAUGACUGAUAAUAGCAGAAUGACAUCAUAAGUACAUAAGGUAACAUAUAAGAAUAACUUGUCACCUAUAUAACUGGCAGCAUUCAUAUAAAUCACAUGUAUAUGAUGCUACAGUUUAAUUGGAGCACAUCAAACUUGCCAUACACAGUAUUGAUGCACCAAUACAUGCCUCAGGAGUCGUCUCAAACACAUGUGAUUCAUGACAAUCAACCUACGACCAUCACCAUAUUGAUACACCAAUGGCAUACGGUGUAUCGAUACACUAAGUCGUGGGAUCAAUUUCAGGAUUUGGUCCGACAAACAUAUCAUAUUGAUAUACAGAUAUAUAGGAUCGAGGACACCGAUUCACCACUCGUGAAGGCCGAUUGUUCGUUUUGGUAGUAGAAUCAAGUAUAUCUACACAUGUAAUUACUUAAUUCAUUUGAAUUUUAAAGUUUAAGUUGUAUACAAAAUAAUCUAACAAUUCAAAUAAUUUGUCUAUAGAUAAUUCAACAUUAACGGAAGGAUGAUCCGGAACAGACCGAAAUUGCGAACCUUGCACAAGGCUACUUCUCAAAGCCCGUAAAAGAUAUGUGGUACUAUUCUUACCUAAUUUACAUUACUUUUGCUAAAACUAUACUAAAUGUAUAUUUAUUUCUAACUUAAAAACUGUAUCAUAACUUUUUUCUAUUUUUCACGUAUUUUCAGAGGGUUUUAUGCCUAUUUUAGACGUAUCGGUCGAUAUGUCGUACCGUACCGUACCAAGCAAAGGUCAGUACAUCAGUACGGUACGAGAUUAAGAACCUUGAUUACAACCAUCCAAAACCUAAAUGUGAUUGAACUCAGAUCUAGGAAGUCACACCAAUAACUAAACAUGGUUACAUAACGUAUAAAUAUUAAUUCAAGUGUUGUAGAUCCGACUACCUUUGCAGUUAUGACAACCAAGUUAUAAAAGAAGUGAUAUGUUGAAUAUCUACAAUUAAUCACGAAACAAAAGGUGAAACAAAUUUCACCAUAGCUUAGAAAAUAAAAAUCUCUUUUGAUGGUUACACAACUAGCAAAGGCAAAGGAGAAGCAGCAACGAACUCUUUGGAAAAGACUAAGCUUUUAAACUCUAAACGCCAUAUUAUUAUUUGAUGAACAGCAAUAUAAGAAUGAACCAAAAAAGUGUAUAUCCAUUUUUAUACGGAUUUAGAAAAAAUAUUUUCAUAAUUAUGAAAUAUUGCAAUGUAGUUAAGCUACAUUUACAUUAGUAAAAUAAUAAUUGGUACUACGUGUUAAUGGAAGAGGCCAGGAAUAAAUUCACAUCAUCAUUUAUGAGAGGCUUAUGCUGCUAGCAUGUCAUCCAGAAGAAAAUAUGACAUUUCCAAACUUGCCACCAGACUUAUUCCAUUUUGACCAUCAAUUGUCCAUGUUGUCCACCAUUUGCAGAAUCUAUGCAAAAAAAUCACCAUGAUUUUUGUUUGAGCUAUAAGAGAUUCGGCAAUAACAUCAAUUAGAGUUGGUGCUGUAUCCAUUUAAUAUAAUUUGCCGACAUAUACAGAUCCCAUCUAAAGAUCAUGGUUUUGUAAAGUUACAAUGUAAUCAAUAGACAAAUUCAAUGUUACCUGGUUUGAUGUGUCUUGAGCAAUGAUGUGAAAGGGAAACAAAGUGAUUCAUAAAAACAAAAACAAGCACUAAUACUGACAUGAACAAGUUUUCUCCAUGCAACAUAUCAUUGAACCAAGCAUAGUAUCAAUAAGAUCACUAAAAUGAUGAAUUUGAGAAAUAAGAUUGACAACAUAAAGAAGAGACUCCUCUAAUUUCCAUACAUGGUCUAUAUUAGCACCAUUAAUGUUGCAACAUAAAACGUCUCAAAGUUCAGUAAAACAAGUUUCCAUGAUUGUGAUCUAUUAUAUACUAUCAAUAUGCACAUGUUUCCACCAGGUCCACUGGGUGUCCCACUAAUAACCAGUGUACUGUGGUUAUGUGCAUGCAUAUACUUCAAUAGCCAGAUCAAUAGAAGAAUAACUCACUAGGAAUUUAUAGAAUUAUAUAAUUUCUUACUGCCUGAUAUGUGAAAAGACAAAAAUACAAAAAAAAGAUUAUUUGAAAAUCUGAUAUUUUGAUAGAAAUGUAAUAAUUAUCUUGACAAGUUACAACCUCGUCCAUCAACAAUCCGGCGCUUUAUAAGACGGCCAUCACCAAGCAUGUCCCUUACCUGUUAGCUGAUGACCAAAUAUUAGACCCAAAAGAAAAUUGGUAACAAGAAGACAUAAAAGAUCACUCAUCAGAGAUAUUGUCAAAGCUGCAAAGAUUAGUAAAAGACAUGUAGGCUUACAAUUUCACAUGCCUAACAGUAAAAGAAAGUGAAGGAAUAAAAGAAUCAGUCUGUAUGAGAAGUUUGGUAGUCAUAUAAUUGGUGUCUUGACUCUUGUUUUGUAUAACAUACUGUAUGCUAUUUCGACAAUCUAGCCUAUCCAGGAAAAUGAAUUAUUGUACAACCACUAUAACAUGACUGACCAUAAAAACAAUGCAACAUUUUGGGGAAAAAAAGAGUGUUCUCAGAGUAAAAGGUACAAAAUAAACCUGUAUAAAAUGGAUUAGUUCAACUUCAAACUGGAUUUCUUCAUGAUCCUCAAUCAUAGGCAUGAGAGAAGAUUUUGUCAUGUAGGUUUUGCUCAAAAAAAUUGCUGCCUUUUCUCCUCGUGCCAUUGUCCCAAUACCCAUCUCAAGCCCUUUUGGUAACUACAAGCAAAAAAGUUCAACAUAAUGUCAUCCAAAUGAAAGGCAAAUCAAGAUGUUACACAACAAAGCACAACCUUAGCAUCUACUCAUUAAUCAGAAAAUUUAUCCGCUUAUUUAAACCUAAAAGUUGAGAAGUGUAAACCAGUUAAAAAGGCAAGUUAAUAGCAAACUAUUCAAAUUAGCUUAAGAAAAAUUCUCCAAAAUUAUAAUAGCUGCAAAUUCCAGUGAGAAUCACAUUCAACAUGGCCAAGUCUAAUAUGAUUCCAGCACCUGCCAAUCAUCUGUAUCAACGUUUCAAAUCACAGUAUCAUAGUAACACUACAAAAAUGAAGGUAACAGAUAUUCCAAAAACUAGAAAGAGAUUUCACCAACCUCAGAUCUACCAAAGGUAAAGGAAUAUGGAUCCUCUGAAUGUGACAGAACCAAUUUUCCAUCGAUUGUCUUAGCAUUAAUCCUGAAAUUACCAGAGCAGGCAUCAAUUGAUAAUAUGUGACAGGUGUGUGAAACUAGAGUAUCUAGAGUCAGAUAAGUCAUAGCUGGAAAAAACAAACUAAAGCAAACAGAAAACCAUUAUACAAACACAUUAUACUUUAAAAUGAAUCUGCAGCAAUAAAUAUAGACAUUCACUAAAAAUUUACCAAAAAGAAAUGAUAAGUUUUGUACUCGUACAUGCAAGCAUGUCAUUCUACAGAAUGAAGAGUAUAUGAAGAUCAUAAAAUGAUUUUUUCUAUAUAACUUAUCAUAAAUAAUGAACUACAAUAAUCAAAAUAUGCACAAAAAGUAGUUGCCAAGUUUGAGCAGCCCAACCAUGACAAAAAGAUUAAAAUCUGGUUUUAUAAGAACUCUAUGAUAACACCUAACAUUACUGAAACUACAUUACCAUGCAUCACAUGACAAAUACCAGAAAUACAGUCUCCAGCCUACCUAAGAUUGCUUCUUAAAGACGCCAAUCCAUUAAUGCGACAAUCACUGAUUUAAAUAGCUGCUCGGGCGCUUGCCAAAGUGCUCGAACAAGGCGAGGCAAGGCCUGAGCACCUCGUGUGUGCACCAGGCAACACGCUUCAAUCAGGUGCCGCCUGGGCGCUCGAUUCUAUUAGGCAAACCGAACCGGUUUAAGGCUGGUUCGGUUCAUAGUUUCUUACCUUAAAACCACGCUUCAUGCUCGCGCGACCCCGAGCAACCCUAGUGCUGCUUCUGCCUCCACCGCCAACGCUUCCUACCGCUGCCUUCGCCACAGACAUGGCGGACCGAGCCUUCCUCUAUUAUCGACGGACGAGUCCGACAACCCCCGUAGCUUCCUUCCACUAUCGCUAUCGCUUCCUUCCACUGUCGAGGGAGAGGACCGCAGGUUCCUCCACCACCGACGGAUGCCCUCUGGAGCUUCCGUUGCUACCGCCGCUGCUGCCCACAACUUCCGCCAUUGCCGUUGUUGUUGUCCGUAGCUUUCGCCGCUGUCACUGCUACUGUCUGUAGCUUCCCUCGCUGUUGUUGUCCACAGCUUCAGCUGCUGUCAUUUGCAACGCUGCCGCAACUAUCUUAAACUAAUCCUUCGCCGCCGCUGCUAUCUCUCUCUGUUAUUGUUAACAUUUUUUUCUCCCCCCUCUGACUUUAAGUAAUAUAUUGUUAACAAUAUAUUUUUAAUUUAAUAUCAUAUUUUAAUUUAAAUAAUUAUAUUUUUAAUUAUAUUAUAUACUUUUUAUUUUUUUAAUAUUUCAGAGAAUUUUUUUUUCUCCCCCUCUAACUUAAGUAAUAUACUAUUAACAAUAUAUUUUAAUUUAAUAUUAUAUUUUUAUUUAAAUAAUUAUAUUUUUUAAUUAUAUUAUAUAUUUUUAUAUUUUAAUAUUUCAAAGCAUCUUGUUUUGCUCGAGCAAGCGUCUUAGGUGUUUUGGGACCUUAACGCAUUUUGGCGCCUAACGCUUUUUAAAUCACUGACAACAAUCAUGAACUUCUUAAAAUGCUGAAACCUCAUGUGGUAUAGCAUGUAAUAUAAUAUUUACAUACAUACGACACUUAACCAUGCAGCAUUACAACAUUGGCCGAUCAAACCGUGUUAAAAGAUCCACUUCUUCCAAGUGGCAUCUUAGCUAAACCAAAAUUUAGCACCUCAUCAACAAAGAAGCUCCUUAACUUCCAGCUAAAUGGCUCAGCUGUUUUCAUGGCUGCUCAAAUAAGUAAUGCACUUCCCAUCAAUGACCUAAAGCAACCUUAAUCAGUUCAAGCUUAGGGCCAAUUCUAGAUGUCAAAUUACGUACAUACAGGAGAAGAUUUAGCUUUUUCAAUUCAGUUGGAUGUUCUAUUUCAAAUCAUUCAAUUGCCUUGUGUUCUUGUGAUUAGACUGGAAACAUAACAAAAAAAGGAAGGGAUCAAAGUAUAUUAAAAAAAUCCAGCCUGUAAAUGUAAACAAACACAUUGUUGAAUUAGUCAUUGCACCAAGAAGAGGAUAUAUGCAUAUACAUACCGAGCUUCCACUUCAUAAGGUUCUCUUGGACAUUCCCAUCCUUGUCCUUCACUAAUUAUCUGAAAAUAUAAGGAGAUGAGAUGUGAAGUGAGGCUAAUACACAAACACAUUGCUGUGAUGAUUAUAGGGCUUCAGCUAUAAGGAUAAUGAUUAUUAACACAAAUAACAAAAAACUAACUAUUUUCCUUAUAUUUACAUUUGAAACAUGAUGAAAGAAUUGACUUUAUUUGCAAAAAAUUUGUUAAUCAUCCAAAGGCAAUUCAUGAUUGCAGAAAACAAUUUAAAUGUAUAUACAUAUGUAUAUGAAACAUUAACAUUACAUAUUAAUGUUGUUAGCUUAAGAUGCUAGAGAUGGAAUGAUCUGGAUUUUCAUACCCAAACCUCAUGAAGCAUAGAUAAUGUUAUCAGAAGCUAGACUCACUUUAAAAGUAUUUUAUCUGUGAGAAGAAAGACUACCUCCAAGAUAACUAUGGACCCGGGAACAUCAGAAAUAAGCAUUCCAUGAAUACAUGUUCAUCCUUUUUAAUCAUAUAUUUUAUUUCACAUAUGUUUCUCUGAAUGCACUAAAACAAAUAUGAUUUACCAAUUUACUCUUGAUUUCUUCACUACACUGUCUGCAGUAUCUUAUAGGUUAUUAUCUGCAGCAUGAUCUUCAGAUAUAUGACAAAUUAUUAUAGAACUAAUGCAAUGUUGAGAAAAUGGUAAAAUCAAUUCCUAAAUUUAAUGGGAAAGCAGCCCAUGCAGAUGGGCUACACAGCCAAUUAUUUCAUAUGAAAGCACAACACUGUUUUACAAAUGCUGAGAGUUAAACCCCUCUAUCCCACUGUUCUUCUCUGCAUAUGGCGUUUAGUUAUAUCACAUAUUAAUUUUAAAUUAGCAAAGCCACAAAAAGUUUUUAGACUAACAAAACAGAACAUGAAUGGAUUGUAUUAAUGUCUCCGUGCAAUGAAAGAAGACUUUAUAUUUAACUACAUAUAUCUACUUAAUAAGUGAAAGGUCCAUAAGACUGCUAGGUCAAAGACAUACCCAUGACUAGAAGUUGAUCUUCUCAGUAACAUGGUUCAAGGCUAGAUACCCUGAUUUCUUGUUAUCUUACAAUGAAAAUUUCUUUCAGAAUAUCCUUGUAUAAAGAUUUUAAGAAAGAAGACACUAAUAGUCCUAUUAAGUGCAAAUUUUGUCUUACAAGAAUUAAAAAAAAUCAAACAGAAGAAAUGAUGCCAUCCAUAAAAGAGUUGGUAACAUUUCCAAACAUGUCAGGUUCUCAUGCAAUUUCAGAAAAAAAAAAAAACAAGAGCAAAACAGUCUCAAAAAGCAGCCUAGUAUCUGCAGUGAAUCACAAAAAGCAAACACCUAUUCUUGAGCAUGCAGAACAUAUACUAAUUUCUUCCAAGAAGAUAUCCAAUGAGAUAUAUCAUCAAAAUGACUACUUCUGCAAGUUCUGAAAACUUGGCAAAUUGAAAACAGUACUAAACAUAAGUCUGUAUACCUUCUUCACGACUCCCAAAUCUUCACCAACAACCUGGUAUAGAGAGCAAGAUGACAUUAGAAAGGGAAAUAUUUUCACUUAAACCAACAUAGGUAAAUUACUUCCUACUGGAUGUCAAUGAACUGCAAACAAAAUUGUUGUGCUACUUCACAAUAACACUUUGUAUGUGGAACAGAUAGGUUGAAUUUUGUGCAUAAAAUUUUUUUUGGCAUAAAAAUAUGUUUAGAAUCAAAACAGAAGCAAAGAAAUAAUAACACAUAAUGAUUUUGUGAGAAUAAAAAAAGAAAGAGGCAAUGCUAAUCAUGAUUGUAGCACUGCAAGAAAUGUUUCACAAAGAUAUCAUAAAGUAAAGAUGCUAAUAUAUCCGACAUGUAAUUCAUAUUCUUACUUUAACUUUAUGAAAAUCCAGCAUCUCAAUUUCAAAGUGGAGUUCAUCAUUCUUUGGGAAGUCAUCUGAAACUGUAACUGGACAGUCCUCCUCAGCAUAGUGUAUCUCAGGUUUCAUUUUGAACUGCAAACAAAGGCCAUUAAAGUAAAAAUAAAAAGACAACCAUGAUGAAGCAAUAGUAUAGGUAACUCUAAAAAGACAAAAGGUAUGCUUCCCUCUAAAAAGCAUUGCCAUCUAAUGAAACAUCACUUAUGGUAAUGUUAAAAUGUGUUUGCAGAUAUACCAAGGAUCCAUAUGUAAUGCAAAAUUAUUGUUGAAGUUCAUUCGCACCCAAAAAUAUGAAGUAUCCUAUUUCAAAGUACAUGUCCUAGAUACGUAGAAUGUGGUUCCAUAAAACAAAGUAAAUCAAUUGCAAAUUGACAAAUAGUCAAAGAAUUAUCAUCACCAAAUUUUUUAAAAAAUCUACAUAAAAAUACAGAAAUCUUCUAGAUCCAAGUAAUACACUAUCUCUGGCAAGAAGUACAUAUCCUGGUCAGAACUUGACAGUAGGCAUGCUCUCUAGAAAAAAAAAAAAGAAACAAAUUAAGCAUAAAAACCAAAAGAAAUAAUCAAUUAAUAGGCUAUAUAAGCCUUAUGUGAAUUGCUUGUCACAAAAAGGAACGUUAAACAUGAAACACACCAAGGUUUCAUUUUCCAACAGAACUCUGAGUGAGAACCAUAUGCAGAUCACUUGGACAACACCUUCAAAGUGGUAGGUAGGGAUACCAACCAGAAACACAGACAACAAUGCAGAGCACGUUGAAGAACUCCAUAUAGGAUGUUUAUAAUAACUUGGACCAUGACUAAGAUCAAAUAUAGAAAGUGCAACUUAAGCAACAUAGGGAGAAACUGAACUUUAAAUUAGAUAGACAACAAGAAAAUUCAAAAGCAAAAGUUUUAAAUCUUAAUUGUAUUAUUAAACUAGAAAUGUGACCAUUACAAGUUUAAUAUCUAUCAUACUUGAUAGAUCAAAAUAUUAGGCAUAGGAGACCAUAAUAAAAAAAUGACAACAAAACAAGCUGGAAAGUAUGUACAAGUUCAUUAAAAAAAAUGGAUAAAAAAUGUCAACAUAUGCAAAACAUUAGCACUACUGAGGUUCAAAUGAGAAAAUUAUUUAAGGUGGUUCAUCUCCAAUGAAGAACCAGGAAAGCACUUGUUAGGCAAUGUGUUAUAAUUCUCAUUUGUAGUGAAUGAAUCAAAAUAGUUAGGCCCAAAAAAGACUAUAGAAAUAAUACGGGAUUUUAUGGAUCUUGAUUUGACUAGUGAUAUUUCCCUUAACAGAGUCUAAUAUGACCAGCAAAAUUCAAGCACAACAGUAGCAAGUAUAAUUGCUUUAGAUAAGUGGUUAAACUUUAAAGACAAUAUAAUACAAAAAACAUCUUUUGGUAAAUAACUGUACAAAUGAACCUUUUGCCUAAAUAACAGAUGUCACAGUCAUCUGCUUAAAAUUUGAACUAGAAAACCAGCAAGAUAAAAUGUAUUACCAAGAAUUACCAAAAUGAACAACAAAAAAAGGAAAUUACCAGAACAAUAUAUUAUGACCUGAGCCUGAUGGGCUAACUAGCCUAUCAACUUCGUUUGGUCUAAACCACUGACCAAAAUGCUUAAGCUGAAGUUGAUAAUAGUACACUCAUCAGACCCUUAUAAGCCAAUCUUAAUCUUGUCCACUUUCGAUGUGGAACUAAUCAGGGGUGUUACACAAUAUGUGAUAAUAAUUACUUUAGAAAUAUGACUUCACUAGGGAUCGACAGAAAGAGCAAAUAGCCUCAACUUGAUAAAAAGUAUCAUAGACAACUUAAAGGAGAUACCAUGGCUACUUCACCCUUUGUCAUGGUAGGAAUGCCUUCAAGAAACCCCAAUAUCGUCUUGCUCUUCCCCAAAACAUUUCUUAUAGGAUUUCCCUUGCCUAUCAUGUCAAACAAUCAAUCAUAAAUUAUAAAAAAAAGCUUUUGCUUAGGCACAAUGAAGAAUCUUUAAAUCUAGUCAAAUGUAAUUAGCAACUUUUCAUGUAAAGAGAAAAAUAUUCAGUAAAGUCACACCUAUAAACAAGUGUCACAUUUAGAUUUACCAACAGCUGCUGGUGGCACAUUGAAGCGCAGCGGACAUUCACAUUUUUCAUAUAUUGUUCUCUUCUGGAUGGGCCUAUAAAAACUAGAAUUUUUUAUAUAUAGAUGACACUCCUUUUGGAUCAAACUAUUUAAUUCCUUUCAUUUGAGCUUUUUGGACGAAACACAUUUGUUAGAUUAAAUUGCCUUGAGUUACUGUCCAACAAAAAUGGCUGAAUCUCAAACCAAAUAUGUACACAAAUAAAGGCCCGUAAUGAGAUAACCAGGUGGUUCAUCGCACGGUAGUUUGACACAUAAACUAACCCACAGGAUAAAUAUAAUGCUAAAAAAGCCAAAAGGCUUUCUAAGCAAGAACGAACAACAACCUCAUCCAGAUUCUAGCAAGGCAUAACCUUAAAACUUCUUUAUGCAUGUGAAAUAGCUUUGCUGUAUUCAUUUAUGUAAAUUGCUUCUAAUAAUAUAUUUAAAAUUAACAAUUGAAAACGAAGAUCAUCAACAACCAACUUUUCCAUCAAGGACUCACACUUGAGUAACUAGUCCAAACCCAAAGAUAAUGACCAGAAUAGUAGUUGAUCUUUCUAGGCCCUCAACUUCCCUGGAAGAUCUAGCAUGCCAAUCUCAUCUCACAUGGGCUUCAACCGAUGGGAGCUGACAUGCAGCCAAGUACUCCUAUGCUUGAUUAUUCACAUGCAGAUACAACUCAAAAUGUAUCGUGCAAAAAGGUAUCAGCACAUGCUACGUCAACUCAUGCUAGAGGUGCCAACAUAUGACAAGCCAAUGUUUGGCAUGCGACAAUUGGCAGAGGGCAACCAACAUGGCAGCGAAUUACACUAUGCAAAAAAAAAAAAGGCAUGCGCUCCCAUGCCACAAAUCAGGAAUCUUUAAGUGCAGCAACCAAAACAAGAAGUAAACACUCCUACAUUCAUGUAGGUGAACAUGCAACUGAACAGCACCCCCAAGCGUAAGAGCUGCACAUACUUAUAUAUAAGCCAAAUAGUUCAUUUGAUAAGUAACAAAAUCAUAGAAACAGUGAAAAAGAGAAAAUGUAAAGAGACUGGAAGUAAUAUAGACGAUGAAGCAUGAGACUUCUUAAAAAAACACCUGCAGGUAGAUCCAUAAAUAAAUAUUCACCUCCAUGUUCUAAUCUUGUUGAAUCGACAACAAUACCAUCUACGGUCCGAGUGGUGCAAUGGAAUAUAACCUGCAACGCAAUUACAAUUCUUUAAAGCCUAAGAAGGGUGUAUUGCAAUUGUCAAAAGUGGCAUGUUGAACAAUUGAAACAGCAAUAAAGCUAUAGAUAAUGUUACACUGAAGCAGAAUGUGGAACGGGUUCCAAGCAAUGACAGAAAGAAUAAUCAAGAUGGACGAGAGAGUUUACUGCAUUAUGCACAGAAAAACACAGUCUCCACUGGACAUCCUAUAGAUAUAUACAAAAUCAAUUCAAGAAAACAGUAAAAAUGUAAAAUCUGAUUCAACCUGCAAAGCUUCUUUUUGAAAUAUGUAAUAGGUCCAUGAUUGUCCAUAAUAAUGAAUCAAAUUCCGAGGUCGACUAGGAAAGCUAUAAUUCAGCAAGCACAGUCAUAAUGCACCAAAACAAUAUAUCAGCUGAUGCAUGCACUUAAGUUCAGAUCUCAGGUAGAUGGAUGCCAUACUAGAUAAUAAGAUUUAUUACCUUAAGCUGAUGAAGAAAAUUUCACAGUGAAAAUAGUUUUGAAAGGUAAAAAUGCAUUUAUCUUUUCUUAAGCUGCAUGCUGGUUCAGUUGAUCCAUCAGGCCAGGUCCGGAUCUUGGACAAUGGUAGCUCGAUGGUACAAUUUAUUCAAAAUCCUUUCCUUACAGACUCGACAAAUUCGCGUAACUUGGAAAGCCUAAGGGACCCAGAAGUUAAACAAAACCAGCACCAUGAUUGAGACCAACUGGUCAAAUGAAACCUGUUAAAGCCUAGAUAUGUGAUAAUCUAGAUCCAAGCAAAUAUGUGAUUGUCAAUUAUAAGUUCUUCCUUGCUUUCAAUUCAUUGAUAAUCAUUUAAAUGUCAGAUAAUCCAAUGAGUGGGUAAACCAUAUUACAUUAGAUCAUACCUAAACUUAACAUAAAGAGAAAAUAUAGGUUCAAUUUAACUGUAAGUCGAUUUUCCAUGAGAUAAAGCAUUUAAAGAAUGGAAAACAAAAUAAAUGUACAAGCAAAAUUCAUCCAAUUCGGAGAUCCCGUACUAUUUAGCAACAACUAUCCAAUACAAUAGAAGAACUCUUAAAAUAAAUGAGAACAACAGUGUUUAAAGCUCACACCCAGAAAAAUGAAGUAUAAACCCACCUUUUAUAUAAAGAUAUGAAGUAUAAACCUAUAAGAAGCGGUGGACAAAGAAUUAUAGUACCUGAUCUCCCUCGACAGGCUUCUCUUGGCCCUCUCCUGAUCUGAUAAUUGCUUUCAUCAAACUUCCAGGAGUAAUUUUUUUUCUCCUAGUAAGUAGAAGGUACCAGAUUGGUCAAUUCAAGAGCUAAAUGAACAGGCUCCAAACGACCAAAUGAUGCUACUUAACACGAGAGGCCUAAUAAUUUUAAAUGAACAUGUAAUUAUUAUGUCUUAGAAAAAUGAAAUAACAAAUGGAAAAGAUUGUCCUUCCGUUGGAUCACAGUUUUUGAGGAGAUGAUAGACUUGGUGGCACAAGAAUAAUAUGAUUAAGAGAUAGGUGCGUUCACAAUUUCGCAAAUAACAAAUGUAUGACAUAUCACAAGCAGCAUGAAUUAAAUGUUAAGAUAAAAAUCCAGCAAAACUUGGCAUCAAAACUUUAUCAAAAAAUUUUCCUUUCUUUCCUACAGGCUAAAUGUGUGAACUCACACACAAAACAUUCUCUUGCAUUCAGUCUAGCUGGAAAAGCCCAACAUGUGAAAAGGUAUGACCUGAGCGGAAAAAAUUCAUUCCUGCACUAAAAUUCAAUCACCUGAUUCACAAUUUGAUUCAACAGUCAGAUUGAAUUUAACACAAUGCAUAAAGAAGCAUAAAGAGCAUGCCAUUCUACGAAUCAGAUGCUCAACACAUUUGAGCUCAGUAAACAAUCAAGAAAAGCCAGGUUUGCCAAUAUGUAAGAACCAAAAUUCGUAUCCGUAAAUGUUACAUAUUGCCACUUUCCGGUUGGCAAAUUCAUUUACGAUUGCAAAUAUAAACUCUAACAAUGGAAAGAUGCUAAACAUCAUCCUUCCAAAAGAUCGACAAGAGGACAAACAUACACCAGAGAGCUCUAAUUAACAUACCAAACUUUUUUCAAAUUUCUACAGUAAAUAAUCAGCAAAAAGUGUUGUCUUUUUUUCUGGUACUACUCAAGAAACACUUUGUACUUGCGAGAAUCCAACGAUUCACAACUGUGGAACUUGUCUGCUGCCAGAGAUCAAGUUGGUUAUGAUAUCUUAGACCGAUUCUCAUUAAUUCUAACUUCCACAAGAGCAAAACCAUGAAGCACACAGGAAAAUUUCUAGAGGGCUUCAAAGGUAAUGCAAGGAAGAGAGGAAGAGAUUUCCUAGUACGAAAAAUUGCGAAUUUGGAAAUGAAGCCAGAAGAGCAAAAAUAACAAAUAAAACAAAGAGGAGCAAGAAUUAGAGGGGCAACCUCUUCUCGGAUUCAUCGUCGGACUUUUUCUUCUUCGUGGGUGCGAAAUUUUGAUCUGGUAAAUCGUUCUCGGCCAUCUCCUCGCUUUCCUCCGUACGGAUCUUUCUCCUCCUCGAAUCGAACGCCCAAAAGAAUCAAGAUCGCAAGGGGCCUUCAAGAGCUAAGGGAGUUGCGGGGACGGCGGAGAUCGCGACGCUUGCUUCCGCGUUCUUCAAUCCUGUACCGAGACUGGACCACAUGCGGGCGGAGGCACCCUCCGGGUCCUGGUCCAGAGUCAAACCGAAGUCGGCCUGGACAGGUUGGGACCUCCGUCUACCCAAGCAACACGCACGAGCACGACACACAAGGCGAGCGGGUGGAGAGACAGUGGCAAACGAACCGAAGCGGCCCAGUUAAAUAUAGACCGGUUGGAUCGCACGGUGAACCGACACCGAACCCCCACCGUGCCUCGCCGCCGGAGAUCGCCGCUGCUGCUGCUGCGGGCGCCGAGAAGACGGUGCAGGCCGGCCACCGGUGGUUUCUUGUUCCUCUUACAUAUAAACAACCCUAACCGUAAGAGAGAUCGGAGAGCAAAUGGGAGGAGAGGGUGAGAGAUGUUUUCCUUCUGGUGGCGACUCGACGCGGUUCAUCUGAACCGUGAAUCAGAGAAGGAUUAAAAAUCGAACCGGCCCGUCGAUUUGAUGGUUUGGAUGUCAAUCGCUGUUAUGCAAGGAAAACUAUGUCAACUUUCAGUGACCAUAAUAUAUUAUAUAGUCUUCUCCUCUAUUAGAAGACUUAUGUUAAUGUGAUCGUUGUAAUAUCGUUUAUAUACGGACGGUUCAAUCUAGAUUCACAAAUCCCCAUUCUAAGCAAUUUAACUCUGCCCAUUAAUUUAAUGGUGGCAGCCAACACAGGAUAUAUAUAUAGAGAGAGAGAGAGAGACAAAGAGAAAGAUGACACACUUGUAGCAGCUUAUAACCUUACGCUCCGUCUACAUGCCUUGCUUUGCCUCACAAUUGCACCAAGAAAGCCUUUAAGCAACUCGGCGCGAGGCCGAUCGCCGAAUAAGGGAUUGAUGCGAUGCAGCUGAAGCUGGUGCAGAUGCGGCAUAAGAAGAAGAAGAAGAGGAAGAGAAGAAACCAGACAUGUUGAAAGCAUAUGACAUGCUUACACUGGGUUACUUACACGUAAGAUUUCUUCCACAUCAGAGAGAACCGUUGCCAUAUCUAAGUUGUAUAACAAAAAGAGCUGUCAUAUUCUAUGGUGAAACCAAGACAAAAAGUGUCGAUCCGACCCAUGGAAAUCAGAGGAAGGGGAGAAGAGAACCUUGGAAACUUGGAUUCUGUGGGCUAUUAACACCACCUCACACCUGAGUCCUGAGGAAUGCAGCAGAUAGUAUUGAAGACAACGACGAGCAUUUACGUGAUCUUGUUCUCCACUUGCUGUAAAAUAUAAUAUUUGACUUGAACUAAUCUUGGCAGCCAAAAGAGGACAAGUAUUUCGCAGUUUCUACUGAUGUGAUGAUUCACAUAAUAUCAGGUCCCGACAUAAAAACCAAAAAGGGGAACAAACAAUUCACAAAAAAGCAUUACUUGUAGCCAGGUUUUUCCUCUGUGGAAUCCUGGAGACAAUUGGCAUUUUUUAUACUUUUGACUUAUAUCUAAUAUGAUUCAGAGGAAAAAGAAUGGCAACCAAAUCAUGAUGAAAAUUAUGCUCACAGGUUCAGCCAAAAAAAGGAACAAAGCUAUACUUCUUGUAUUAUGAAUAAAGCUUCCCUAUGAACUCGGCAUCGGUGGCUGUCAUAUCAGAAAGAAUAGUUGUUAAUUGUAAUCUUGAUCACGCCCUUUUUAGAAGAAGAGACAAAAACUAAAUGGCACAGUUGAACCAACAGUUUCCCUUAUGCUACAGGUAGAUACUCACCUGGUCACUUGACCGCAGGGAGUCGGACGGAGAACAAAUUGCAGAUCAAAGAAAGUACACUGGUUUUCCUGUUUAUAUCCACGAGUGACCAUUGUGGCUGCGGCAAACAUGAAAGAAUGGUUACAUGCAUCUGCAUGCCUAUUGAUUGAUUGAUAUGUACAUGUGCAUAUAGAUCAAUAACUACUGAUUCUAACAAAACUGCUAAACAGAUCCUUUUCUAUAAGUGAGUGAUCCUCAUGUUGGCGAUUCCGCAAGAACCAAAGUGUGCCACCAACCACAUGACACGUUUUUGGGCUGGAGGUUCUCUAUAGGAACCACAGAAGGAAUGUUUCUGUCAAUCGAGUCCCCUAAACCAAGCUGUGAAUGGAAAGAAAAAAAAUUAUAAAUCAAUAUUGGAAAGUCGAAACAGGACUUGAAUGGCAUGAAAAUGGUACCUGGCCAUAUUUGUUCCAUCCCCAGCAAAAUACUUGACCAUCUUCUGCAACACCACAAGUGGUCAUACCAGAUACAGUUUGUCAGUUCAUGUUCACAUAAAGGUCUUAUAGGAACAUGCAGUAAACUUGGUUAACAAAAUUGAGUUAGAUUUUUAGAAGAAGAGUUGGAGCAGCUUCCAGAUACUACAUUUAAACAAAAAGGUAAAAUAAAAAAAACAGAGAUCUUAAGAUUCUAUUAAAGUAACUUUUUUUUAUAAGAAAAAAAUAUAUCGGAUCAGGCAUCGAACACUCAACCUUUGAUAAGUAGGUCUGCUACGCUAUCACCAGACCAAUGUUUAAGGUUAAGGCAACUAUAUUGCUAAUGCAAAAGCAGCACAUGCCAGUUGGAACCAGGUUGAAUGAUAACUUUGCCUUCAAGCAUGUGAAACUAAUACAGUAGGUGCUUUUGCAAAAGGAGUCUAGGAAAUUGCUGCUUCAUUCAAAUUCCUUUUUUUUUUUUUUGUAUUAGUAUUCCUUCUUGCUCACCUCAAGUGAAAGGGGAAGAAGGCUGAGGGGUGGGAAGUAGAACAGUAUAUCCUAAAUUACAAUUGAUAUAAGUUUCUGUUUCAAAAGUUUAAAAUGUAUACGCAUCCACUAAAACACCCAAUGGAAAAGUGCAGGUACAAGUUGGACCAGAAUCUAAAGCACUAAAACAAACUAACAUGAUCGGACAAGCUUAAAAUGAUACCUGUCAGCAUGGUGCUAUGACGUGCUCCACAAGAGAUCAAUUUAGCAUUCUUGUUUUCCAGACAUGGCGCAUCCAGUUGCUUGGGAAGAGUCUGUAACCACAAACAUGAUAAGCACACCAAUAUCUAAUUAUCAAAUCUUGAAGUCAUGCAUAAAUGUUUUAAAAUACUCCAAAUUAAUGCCUAUCAUUAUAGUGCCUGUCAUGUGCCAAAUAUAUUCUAAUUACACCUUUGGCUCAUUAAAGCAUAUACUGGAAAAAUGUCUGUUGACUUUGCUAUGUGAAAAGUAAUUGUCGCGAUUAUGAAUGACAUACACCAUAUUUCUUCUGUUUUUAACUUGGAAGUCAUAGUAGUUGUGACUAAGCUCUUGAAAUGUUGCAAAGGCACACAUCAGAUAUUGAGAACUAUAUACCUCAUUAUGCAAAAAAUGAAAGAGUAGUUUGUGAUACCACUGUGAUGAGAACUAUGUACCUCAGCUUGAUCAGAACCAGUUCCUAGCUGCCCAAACUGAUUCCCACCGAAGGAAUACACACCACCAUCAACAGACGUACACACGGUAUGCCAUAGGCCAGCAGCAACUCCUUGUAUCUCGACACCCAAAAGUGAUGAGACACAUGUUGGACUCAGCUCAUCGUCCGUACUUCCUUGUCCACACUGAACAAAAAUCGCAUAUAAGAAGGCAAAGAGAAAAAGAAAAGAACACAAAAGGAUCAAUUAGUUCUUUCCUUAGAUGUUUCAAAGUAAAUCCACGAUCGAGAGAUAAGAAGGUAAUUUCACAUGUUAAAGUAGACCACUCCAUUUUUUAUAAAGUCCCUACAUGUGAAUCCUGGACAGUUACUAAGACUUAAUAAUGAACAAGGACAAUUUUAAAAUUCAUAUACAUAUAUACGGAUUGAAGUGCAAAACACCCGAGUUGCAAGGAAACCAUAUUCAAAACCAUCAAAUCCUUCCAUGUCUCUGAAUAUCUUUAUUGACUCAAUAAGAAAAUAAAUGUAGCAUUAUCCAUUCUACCAUAUCCAGAAUGAAUGAUAACAAUGGAUUCUUCAACUCGAUAUGAAACCAGGUAUAUAAAAACAGCAAGUAGUCUAAUGGUAUCCUAUCAUGUAUAUGCCUUUGGAUUAUAACUAACUUAAAUGGUCAGGGAAAAAUUAGUAUGCUCAAGGUUUAUGUACCUGGAGAGAGCAUUAUAUAUUUUAGAGAGCAUCUUUUAUUGUCAGGAAAAAUGUGAGAAUAUAUUUGCAACAACUUACAUACUUUAGAGAGCAUCUUAUAUUGUCAGGAAAACUGUGAGAAUGUAUUUGCAACAAUACAUCCAACGAAAGCCUUGUAUUUCAAAUACUAUGCAAGAAAAACAGUUCAUAAAUAGUUCCCCCAGCAUACAGAAUUCAAGCCACAAUAAAGUGAAUUAUGCACCUUAAUUCUCAGGUAGAAAAUAAAGCAAGCUAACCUAAGUUGAUGUAAGCUUACUAAUAUCCAUCAGGUAGAAUAAAAUUCUCAGUUACUAUGCAGAAUACACAAAACAAGAUUUCCAUGUGUGCUGGUUCAUUGACAUGCCUACUAAGAAUCUUGCAACAAUUUGUAAAAUUCAUGAUUGCAAGGCUGACAAGAAAAGUACGGUUAACGGUUGCACAUGAGUACCCCAAGUGCUAAUAACCUAUUGAAUGAGGAGAUAGGAUAAAUGAAGCAUUUACCAAAUCAUGAUUUGCUAAACAUUGUUGAUUCGCUGAAAUUCUAACGUAAAUAAAGGAUCCAACAAUAAUCAUUGAUCAUGCAUCAAAGUUGUGGAGAACCUCAAUUAUAAAAUAAAAUAAAGUGACAAAAUAGAUAUGUGUCAUCCGUGGUGCCAACAUAGAUAGGCAUUUGUAACUCAAGAUGACAUAGUUUCUUUUUUUUACUAUUGAAAAUGUCUUGGCCAUCAAGUAAUCACCUGCUCAUGAAAAUCGAGUUGUUUUGUGUUCAUGUGUCUGUGUGUGCAUGCGCGGGUAAGUGGGUGGGUGAAUUUUGUGCUUUUACUCUCCUUUUUCAUCUUUUUACUAUUAGAAAGAUAGGAAAGUAUCUAAAUUUUAACAAUUGCCCUCUUUAGUUUACAAAAAGGUACCAUUGAUAAGUAAUGUCAGAUGACAUGACCUUGCACAAAAAAAUCACAACCAUAAAUACCUUAUUGUUGAACUUCAUAAUCCAUACAGAAAAAAUAUCAAGAAAAAUCAGGGGCACUCAAUUCACCAAGUGGACUGACAUGAAAUUUAGGUGGAGUAAAACCAUUCAUGCUAGUAACAUAACUAAUGAAAAUCACAUGAUGAUGAUGACGACAACGAUGAUAUAUGGGUAUAUGAUAAUUCCUUAAAAUAUAGCAUAAAAGUUUAGCCAAGAACCAUUUAGACUAAAGGAUAAUUCAAGGCCUAGUACAAUAUCAUCCCAUGACAGUGUCACAUGGAUAUAGACUCACAGGUGAGAUUUAAGUUCAGCCCAAUCUAAGCAAGCAAAAACAAAAUUUAGAAAAAUAUGUAAGAUAAUUUUUGUAAACUGAAUAGUUGUGGUUCAAAUUAUGUUGAAUGUGAAAUGUAAGAAGAAACGCUUGUAAAAAUGAAAAUUAAAAAAUUAUCACUUUUGAUCUUGUUAUAUUACAUGAACUUUUAAAUCCCAUUAUAAAAAAGAGUUCAAUAAGCAUCCAAGUCAAGACUGCAUAUUACACAUGGUUAAUGGGGGUGGAGACAAGAAUCCGUUAACCCGUUAAUCAAUUUCCACCGUCAUGGACUACACAAUGGAAAACUAGGUAGAUAGAAGGAAAAAAAAAAUUCAAAACUCAAUGUUCAGCAUUCAAUUACCAAAAACUAGAUUCUCUGACAAACAGCACUGCAAAUGAGUAACUAACAUAUAUGUGACAAUACAACAUACAUACAUAUCAAACUUAGGCUACAGCAUAUUGUUGAAGUAAUAGUGUAGAUAGUCCAAAAGCAAUUGCACCAUCUGGGCCUACUUAAGAAUAUAAUGCUCGUGUUAAUAAUAAUCUCUCAAUGAUAUAGUCCCUGAGAAAUCUGGGAAAAAUAGGUAACAAUGAAGGAAAAACGACAACCGACAAUUGAACUAUCAAUCUAUUUGCAAUGAAAUAAACUGAAGUCUAACCUGGCCAUAAAGUCCCCAGCCAAAAGUAAGUAGGGCUCCUGUAUCUGCAAGUGAACAAUAUAUCAAUCAACAUGUGUGACAAUAAAGAGAUGGAACAUCUAUUAGGUAUUAUCCACUCAUCAUGUGACAUCCUGCUAACUGUGUGCAGGCUAAAUUCUAGUCAAGGAUUAGAGCUUCGAAGGGAGAGUAUAUGCAAGUUGUAGAUAUAAAAGGAAUCUUUAUUUAAGGAAAAAGGAUAUGCACAAAAUAAAGUGGAGAAAUACGCAACAAAACUUCUUGUCAAUAAAAGAAAAUUUACAUUAAAAGAUCCUCAUGUUACGAUCUCCUGUUAAUAAUGCUAAAUCCUAUAUUUCCAUCCUUUGACCAUUUACAAAAUCAAACCCCUACUUUCCUCUAUUCAAACUUCCUCAAGAUACUCAAACAUUUAACUAUAUUAAAUAUAUCGAAGUCAAUUCAAGUUUCAAAUUCACAAUUGUUCACCUUGUUAGUAUUCUCAAUGUGCAUCUUUAUUUGUAUUCCAACCUAUUUAAUCUGCUUUAUUUCAUUAGAAAAUUUAGUAGCUAUUUACACAAUGCAAUCUAGUAGCCUAUUCCCCUUGUUGCUAGUAUGUUGAAAGAUGGUAAAAAAUCAUGUCAUAAGCUGCUUGAAGUCUUCCCCCCCUCAUCUUAGCUUAUGAUUGACAUGGCACCAGUACACGCAUGUUCUGGUGCUCACCUGACACACAAAUAGAUGCAUGUAUCUACAUAGGAAGAAUGCAGGGUUAGCAUUAUUAUAUUUUCUAGCUAAAGAAAUGAGUUCUAAAAGUAUGUCAACAGAAUUAAUUCAAAAUCACUGAAAAUGUGUGUCAAUUGACAGUAAGUAUUGUGGCAGAAAAGAAGUAACAAAUGAAUACUGACCUGUAACAGCAGCACUGUGACGACCCCCACAAGCAAUGGCCUUUAUACAGGUUCCUAUGAGUUUAAAAGCCUGCCCAUCUGAACCUUGUUUCCCUUUAGUUGCUGGUGAUGAUUGGUCUUUAGUAAAAGAAGCUGACUCUAUACAAGGUACAGGAUGAGGAGAAGACACAUUCCGGAUACGAGUACCCAAACCAAGUUGCCCUUCCCCUCCAUAGCCCCAACCCCACACCUGACCUACAUCUGAAACUUUGUGAAAAAUGCAAUGUCUUAGCAUUUGUUUGUCCUACAAUUUACAAAUCUAGAGGAGGCUAGAGAAUAAGAAGUGAAGAAAAGGAAACAGCCAAAUGAUGCGGAAAGUUAUAUUAUGCAGAAACUACAUAACCUUAGAUCAAGGAAAUGGACUUACAUGACAAUGCUAGUGUAUGACGUCCACCUGCAGCAACACAUGUGAUACGGACACCUACAUUAAGAUUUACAAGACAUGGAGGUGCUGAAAGAGUUUCUUCACCAGACGAAGAGCUUUCAGGUCCCAGUUUAGCUGAAGAUAACCUUCUUCGCUUUGUAUUCUCAUCACCACCUCCACUAUCAAAACCUGACAUAGUUCCAGUAGUUCUUGAGCCCUGUGACCUAGGCAUCACUGCCAUGGAGAAACCACGAGAACAGACACAAAAGAAUGUUAAACUAAAGAAGCUUUUUUUUUUCUAUUCGAAUCAUCAUAGACAAUAAAUUACUGGUACAACCAUGGUCACUCAUAAAUCCACUAUGUCUUUCCUCUUUUUCUGAGGCUCCUCCAGAGGAAGACUGGUCUCUGACAUUCCUCCCAAAAGGCACGCACUCUUUCCAUCCCCAUGUGUAGACUUCUCCUUGAGCUGGCCUAGGAAGGUAAAUUUUGAGUUUCCAAAAAGCUCAAUGAUAGCUUCAUUUGUCAGAUUAUGCAACAUAAAAUAUGUAGCAUUCAACGCAAGACAGUCACUUCUUUUUCUUUUUUUUUCUACUCUCCAUGAUAAAGAUAGAAUAUGAAUAUACUAAUUAAGAUGUUCAACUUUUUUUCUUGUAUGACAAGUAAAAUAUUCCACCAAAUAUAAACAAAAAGUGCAAGUAGGCAUACAACCUGUGACUGCUACACAGUGAGCCCACCCCGCAGCUGCCUUGACUAUGGGUACCUUAGUUGGGAGGUCAAAUACCUCAGGAGUCUCCUGAUUAAUGCAAAAUGUGAGGCUCAUCCAUCCAAAACAUCGGGAUGCAAAGAAAAAAAUAAGCAUAAAAUAUUAAACACGAUGCUAGUUGAAGGGAUUCAAAAGAUGGCUUAAUUACCUCAUGCUUCCCCGAAGUAACAUAGCUUUGACCCAUGUCAUCUGUAGAACCCCAUGUAAAUAGCUUGCCUGACUCUAAUACAAGAAAGAAGGCAGCAGGAUAAGUUAUUACUCAGUCAACAUUCAGAUCUAAUAGAAGCUAUCUGGGCACCAAAACUACCAAUGACCACAAGGUCUUUGGACUGUCGAGAAAACCAGCAUCAGAUUUCAAAAGGAUUGAUAACUUCAUCAAAAUGGAAAAUAAUUCCUGACUGUCAUUAUUCUGUGAAAAUUCAGAUCGGCGUUCUUCAUCAGCAACUUAAUCGUGCGUAAAUAUUUAAGAUGUUAAAAGGUUGUACUUCAAGCCACCAGAAAUUGAAACCACUCUGAGCCACACGAAAAACAUUCUGCUUGUGAGGAUAUAAACAAAGCACAAAAUAAAGAGAUCAUCGUUAUCAUCAAAGACAAACUCAAGACAUAAAAAUGAUUAAACGGAAAAAAAUUUACUCAGACGUAUUAUCUAAAAUAAUGAAAAACAAUAAAAAUGGAUGGGAAAUCUAAUACUAAAAAAUCAGUUCAGUAACCAAGGGAAGAAUGCAGUCCAAAAAUGGAGGCUAUCAAGAUGAGCAAGCCCAAGUUCGUCGCAACAUCUAAAACACAAAGAAGGAAGAAAAUCUACCUCUUGAAAAUGAGGGUUGCAAAACAAAUUUAGAAAGCAAAAAAGCUCAAAGCCCAACCAACACGAACAAGCAUCUAAAGAUCAAGGACGUUGGCUCUCUGAUAGGAGAAGACCGAAGCAGAAAGCGCAAGCAGAAGGGAUUAAAUAGUAGAAGUAGCGGCCGAUACCGGACAUGGCCAUGGCGAAUCCGCAUCCACCGCCACUGACAUCCUUCCACCGGUCUCCUGCUGGCGAAUCCGGCACUCGGACGGCCACCGGAUGAAGUAAAGGCGAUCUCUGCGGCGACACUCCGGGAAGGUAACCCCACAUCAACACCGUCUUAUCCCUCCCCCUCGCCUCCUCCACCACCAUCAUCUCCUCCUUCCCGUCCUCUUCCAUUUCCUCCCCUCCUCCUCCUCCCCCCUCCUCCCCACCAUUCAUUUCCCUCCCCCAAUCUAUCUAUCGCUCUAUCAAUCAAUCUCCUCAACCCUUUCUCGGCUUUCUUUUCCCCCUCGAUCUCCUGAGGUCGACUUCAAGCUACGCUGAUAUUUGCUCAAAGAAGCAGGACUCAACAACAUCAACCAAGAUAGACCAAACACGAGAGAGAGCAGAGGACAGCCCUAAUUCACCCGCAUCAAUUCGUGCUUCACGGGCCUGUCCACGUAGGACGGACAAAAGGGACUCCGAGACACGUGGGUCGACGAAGGCCGCUGGAUGACCCGGGGCGUUCUUGGCCAGGAGUUCCCAGGAAGCUUCUGGAAGCUGAAGGGCCCAUCCGUGGGAAAGCCGCUCGCUGCUCUCGCCACGCCGAGGCUGAUUCGGGAGGAGUGGCCACCAACACCCCACGUGGCGAUCCCAACCGAGACGCGGGCUGGGUGGCGCCCGUUCCCUCCACUUUUGAUGUGAUUAUUUUUUGUUGCUGUUAGGUUUGGAAGCUUCGAGACAAAACGGGGGUUAAUAAUAAUAUUCUUCUUGUGGAAGACUUGCUGAGACUGACCGUUUGAUUUGGACGCGAGAGGCGAGCGGGAUGGCAACCGCCCACGAUUACGAGGUUUCGUUUCGUUCCUUUUUUGUUGCUGUCUUAGUGCCGUUGACCCAAGUGUUCAAUCCUCAAGUAAAUAUUUAUUUUGGGGGCUUGUAUCAUGAUAAUAGGAUAGCCCGAGCGGAUAAUUGAGAUGAUUGAUAGGCUCUCGAGGUGUUAUAGGCUUUUGACGAUUGAUCCACGAUCAUCUUGAGGAGUAGCUUAUUUGUUGGAGAAAGCUCGGGUCAUCCCGAGAUGUGUCUUGGUUUUCUGGAGGUGCCUAGCAUUGUUCUGAUGUGCUCCUUAGACACGCCUAGGUCCUGUACAAGUGGUUGGCAUCGGAGAGAUGUCUUGACCCGAUCCCUCCAACGCUCAAGUCAGUAGAGUAUAUGGAGGGGGUUUAGUAGAAUUCAGAAGAGUUGAGAUAGAGACCGCUUGCCCCCAUUUGGCUUGGGAGCCUGAGUUUUAUACCUGAGAGAUCAAUGGCGUGAGACGAGCGAUGGGCAAGGGUGUCCCUUACCCUGCUAGGAGAUCAUUGAUGGUGGUAGCUGACGAGCAUGUCCUUUGAAGGAUGAUAUCAGGGUAGGAUGCCCGUAAUGAUAUGCUUUGUCAUAGCCCUUGGCCUGUCAUAAUGCUCGGUGUCUUCUAUGCCCGAAUAUCUUUGUAAACUGUGUUCUUGUCGACCGGGGCCAUUAAUGGCCUUUAAGAUGGCCAACCGGCUUGCCGCCACCCCAAGACUCCUUUUAGGGUCCACUAUGAGGGGCUGACUCAGGAUAUGAGAGUGUGGGAGAGCGCCUCGGUCGCAAGUGAGUAUUGUUGGGGGUCGCUCAGCCUUACUCUGAACAAAUUGGUGUAAUACACCCCCACAAAGUCUUUAGUCAACCAAUGCAAUCGUAAUGAGGUUCCGGUAGGUUCUUGCACAUGGGUCCUUUUUUUCCAUUGCUCCUCGACAUUGACCCAUCCAUUUUGAACAGCAUCACCAUUACAUGAGGGGUCUUGCUGACCGAGCGCAUGACGUCAAGGUAUUGGUGGACGAAUUGUCUCGGGUGAAUGAGGGUCUCCAAGAGAGGGUCGUCGAGUUAGAGAAGAGGCUUCUCUCGUCGACUGAGGAUGCUCCAAUCGCCAAGACAAUUGAUUUGCUGGGGCAGGCUUGAUGAUAAUUGGAAGAUGCCAAGCAGCGUCUGGAGGUCCUGUGACAAAGGUUGGAGGACACUGAGGAGAGGGGCCACCAUUUGAAGGACUAUUUGUAGAUGCACUUUGAUGAGUUGAUGGCCACCAGGAUCAAGGCCCAGGAAGCUAAAGAGCUCCUGGAGGAGGAGCGAUGUGAAAUCUUAAUUUGGAGAUAGGAGCGAUCGUGACAUAUAAGGAGUCAAAAGGGUUCUAACAUGGUCUACUAAAAUCGAGAAGGACUUCAUAUCAAUACAGGCACCUUUUUGCUUUGGGGCAUUUCAAGGUCAAGUACCUAAGAAUAAGCGUCAAAGAGGACCCCUUUAUUCAGUGGCCCAAAGAUGUUUACGUCCCUACGGAGGCGUAGGUCCCCUUUGACGACAGCCCUGACUCGUCCUCCUCUUUUGAUUGAGUGCUUAUGUCGACGGUCUCCGUUUUUUUUUUUUUUUUUUUUUAAGGGCUUCCAUAUGAGUCCACCGGAUGCAGGGCCUAUUGUUUUUUACGAGCCCUUAAUUAUAAGUGUUGCCUGUCUCGAGAUGAUGAGCCCCCUCUAGGUCACUUGGUAGGGGCGCUCUCAACUUGAUGUCACCUUUCUUUUGGAGUCAAUCGGGUUGCUGACUUCAGCUUUUCGAAGGACCAAGUUUCCUACUCCGACCUAUCGUGGUCGAAGACACUGAUUGUACAACUUGGCUAUCAUCGUCUUAUACCUCAAGGAUCAGAGGUGCACCUCGACCUUGAGCUCCAUGACCAAGUUCAACUAGGCUCAGAGUUCCUCCUUGAAUGUGGUUUCAUCGAAGAAUUCUGCUUGAGGAGUCGAAAGGACAACCUCGAGUGGAAGGGUUUGCCCGAGCUAGUUUUGGGAGUAGUUCGACACUUUACCAUGAUGCCUUAAGUCGGGGGUUUCUCCUUCAUGGUGAUCCCAUGGUUAAGCCUCGAGGUGGUUCUUAGCGCGGUCCCUUAUGGGACUUCUCGUGCCGACUCGAGAGCAUGGCCUCAACAGCCACAUACUGAUUGGCCCUUCGUAGCAUUUCAAAUAUGGUUAUGGAUAAAAUUUUCACCAAUAACCAAAAGAAGCGGGUGAGCUUUAAGCCCAUCAUGAAAGCCUAGGUCACCGACGAGGGGUGGGCAUCAAGGACCUCUUAGAUCUCACUGGUGAAUAGGUCGAUGAAGCAGGAGAGAGGCUCAUAUUCCCUCUGUCUCAACCCGAGAAGCGUGGCUGUGGAUGGCUUUGGACACACAUUGGUAAGAAAGUGAUGCUUGAACUCCUUCACAAGCUAGGGAAAGGAGGUGAUCGAGAGGGGUCUUAGGUGGUUGUACUACUCUCAAGCUGACCCCCUAGGAUCAUUGGAAAAUUUUAACACAUUAGGGCAUCCAAUAUGUUGAAUAAUGACAUCUAAACCCUGAAAGCUGUAAUGUAUUACAUUAGGUCAGAGCUACCGUCAAGGGCCUCCAAGAAUAGGAGGCAUAAGUUAGUCAGGCGAGGCUCCUUCUGGAUGCUUUGAGCGAACAAGGAGACGUUUGAGGUGCAGGACUCGCCCUUCAAGUAUAGAAAUUCUUGCUAUACAUCGUUCAGGCGCUAGUUCAUGACUCAGAGUUACACUUUGAGUGAAUCCUCCAUCGAGUCGAUGGUUUGUGUCCCUGACUUCGGCAUGGCCACCCUAUGGCACAACGGGGCACUGAGCUCCAUCGUCGAGGGUAUUUGUCCUUUGGGAGCCACCUCAGCUUAUCGAGGGCAUUCUGAGGGCACCAACAAGGAGUUCAUCGAGGGUGCUCUUGGAGGCGAGGGGAGUAGUGAGAGUUAUAUUGUUGGUCAUUAUCUCGGAGUUACUUGUUGCAUCAAUUGGGGCAAGAGAGUGGCGAUCGCCCACAUCAUGUUGGCAAGUGUCUACACUUGAUGGGUGAGGCCCAUGAAGGCAUGGGAUGGGAUGAAUAAAUGCCUUCACUCAAUGUAGCGCUUGAGUCUCACAUAUAUUGAAUUACAACUAACAUACCAUAGAAGCAUAAAUAAUAUGUACAUAUUAUCCUCAUUUUAUAAUAUGAUUUGUGAUGUUUAUAGUUCAUGAAUGCGAUAAAUAAUAUACUCGUGUUUUCGGCUUUUAAGAUUAAAGUACAUGCUUUCUAAAAAUGUCAUUCUUACUAUUCGACAUAAUGUUGGUUGAGCAUUCAUAAAUACCAAUGUUUACAUUAUGUAUAGCGUAAGAAGCCAAAAUAUGUUAGCGGACUUAAUAUGAGGUUAAGUUACCUUAAUAUUAGGGUGAAGCACGAAUAUUUAUAUGCGAGGAUCAAUAAUUGAGAUGAAAAAUAUCUUGAGUAUUAUAUAUUUUAAAAUAUUUAAUUAUAUGUAAUGUCAUAAUAUUAUUGAUACCAUGAAAAUAUAUGAACCUUGGGUAUUUUUCGGAUUAGAUAUGUGAAUUUUAAAGGACUAAAAUCUGCAUUUAAAGAGAAGGUGAUUUUUAUGCUUCUGGGGAUCUAUUUGUAAAUAUAGAAAUACAGGGAUUAAACUGUAAAAGUAAACAAGUGGAGCGAUUCUUGUCCCACCGCUUCCCAUGCACCUCUGUUCCCGCACGAGGAAACAAAGGAGGUGCAGUGUGUCGGUGGAAGAGAAGGGAAGGAGAGGAAGAAAGAAGAAGGAGAAGAGAAGAAGAGAAGAAGAAGAAAAGGGAAAAGAGGCUGUGGCUAGGGCUGCGGUUGGGAGAGAAGGAGAGGAAGAAGGGAAAGGGAAGAGAGAAGAGCAGGCGACUGCGCUCCUCUGCAUUUCGCAUGAGGAGCUGUGGCUGUGGAAGAAGAAGGGAAAGGGAGAGAGAGAGAGAAAAAGAGGAAGGAGCAAGGGAAAAGCAGAGAAGGAAGGUAAGAGGAGUUGGCGACUACAGCUAUGGGAGAAAGAAGGAAAAAGGAAGAGAGAACAUCGAAGGAGGAAGAAAUAAAAGAAAAUACUGUGUGUAAGAUUAAAGGUUUUAUGCCAUUAUGUUGUGUUUGCUAUGUGUAAGAUUAAAUAUUUUAUGUUAUUAUUUUAAAAUACUAUAUAUUUGACAUGAUUUAUGCUCACCUGAUUAAAGUUACGAAGACUUAUUCUGAAUAAAUUACUAUUAUAUACUAUAUUUUAUAAGUAAAGAUAUUAGUAUCUCACCCAAGUGAUUGGGUAGGAAAGUGAGUAAGUGCAAGCUCAUGUCAAUAUAGAUAUGGAUGAUGACCUAUAGGUAAAUUUUGUAAGGUGCUUCGAGCAUUUAUUAGGGGGAGUAGUGAAUGAAUAUUAUUGUGAUAUUUGGGUCCUUCUUUUAGUACCCAAAUGUUAUUUCCUUGAUUAUCGUUGAUCGGAGAGUCAAUAGAGCAUGGUUUGGUCUCAAAGGCGUAAAUCCAUCAAAGGGGCCCAUAUCGAGGUGAUAAGGUUGGUCAGAGUGGGCAACCGAGGUGGCAGAUAGACACCCAAGGUGUUGCAAGCUCUCGACGACUGAUCUAUGGGCAUCUUCGGGAGCAACUUAUCUAUUGGAGGAAGCUCAGGGUUGUCCCAAGAUACGUCUUGGUCUUCUGGAAGCACUUAGCAUCACUCUGAGAUGCUCCUUAGACGCAUCUGGGUCCUGCAUAAGUGAUCAACAUCCGAGAGAUGUCUCGACUUGACCCAUUUGACGCUCAAGUUAAUAAAAUAGGUUGAAAGAGCUUAGUAGAGAUCAUAAGAGUUGAAAUAGAAUCCCCUUGCCUGCGUUUAAUAGGAGGCUAGAUUUUAUACCUGAACGAUUGAUGACAUGAGGCUAGUGAUAGAUCAAAGUGUCCCUUAUCCUAUAGAGAAUCAUCAAUGGUGAUAAUCGAUGAGCAUAUACUCUUAAAGAUGAUGGUAGGAUAGGACUCAUGAUGAUAUGUUUUAUUAAGGCUCUUGGUUUGUCCUCAACAAGCAUGGAAUGAGCCUCCUGUAUCGUUCAUUCGCGAGAAAGGGCCAAGGAAGUUACGUCAUGCCGUAUGGCUUCAUCAUAUGCGACGGUGGUGGUAACUUCCCCGUGGUGGGGUUAGUUCACAUCGCCGUUAUUGUCACUGUACUUGAUCGGGGUGUCGAACGACGAAGGGCGGGUCGCAUGGAGCGGACGUGGUGAAUGGUUUGGAAAGGGGACGGAAAGCGACGGGAGCGAAGGGGAGAAACCGAUGGACAGAGUUUGGAUCAAGAAGUGUCGAGCUCUACCCUAGAAGAUUACAUCCGAGGGAAAGAGAGGAGAAACUCGAGGGCCGAUGGGUGGCGACCUCGACGUGGGGGCGCACCACUCGGACGUGGUGGAUGUUUUGGACGAAGGGAGACGGGAACAACGGGAGCGAAGGGGAGGAGACAAUGCAUACCGUUUGGAUCAAGAAGUUUAAACUGUGCCCUAAUCGGUUGCGUUCUAGGCAGAGAGGAGAGAAUCUCGAGUGACAUUGUUCUGAGGGAAGGGGUUGAAUCGCUUGAUUUCCGGCGUUCAAGGAUGACAAGACACAGAUCCGUGGCCUAGAAGCAGAAAUGAGGUUAUCCUUCUUCUAACUUGCUUAUUUGGUUCUCCCAUUCUGCCUGUAAAUGUUGAUCGUUCUCGUUCUGUCUCCUUUGAUGGCUAAUUGUUGCUAAUCAUGGUGGAUAGUUACAUUUCAUUUUCUCAAAUUUCCUGUGAAUUCAGAGACAUUCUCUAAGUCGUAAAGUUUUUAUUAUCAUAUCAUGCCCAUAGAAUCCGAGACUUGGACAAACCCUAUCUAAAGGUCAAACCAAAGAUCAUAAUGUAUACAGGUCCACUUAAACCCUUUUCUAAAAUCCACAAGACCCAGGUACAGUCAUAUCCCCACAAGAGGGAUCAGGCUUUCAUAUAGUAUGGAAUUUUAUGCUAACAGGGGAUAUAUAUCGACUGAUAUAGGAACAUACGAUAGAGUUUUUAACUAUCAUUAUCUAAUUUGGACGUGAUUGGGUUACAAGAAGCUUGGAGUCAUGAUUUAUUCUCCUGAUUUAUGUGUGGACGAUAAUUUGUGUAGAUGAGCAGCUGCCUAUGAUCUUUGCCGACGAUGGUAAGAUCGCUAAAGCGGUGAUUCAUGCAAUUUUGUAAAAGGGAACUAGUUGGACUGCUAAUUCCACAUUAGAAGGCUAAAAUCUUUUCCAGUUUGUGGACGAUAGCACUUCUCUUGCCUAUUGAGAAGCUUCACUGCUAUGAAAACUGAAGUUUGUUUCAAGUUGAGGCCAAAUAUCCAAUUAUGAGUUAGGUAAGAGCUAGUAAUUCAUUUAAGUUUACUAAAAGCUGCUAAAAAUAAUGGCACGGAUGAUUAAAAUGAUUUACGAACAUUCAUAAGAAAAAUAUGGAAUAACUUCUUUCCAAGGUUACCAAAGUUUUGAGACUCAGUUUUUUUGGGUUUUUCAUAUAAUUUAGUAAUAUAGUUUCCUUUCUAUAAAAUUUAAAGGCCUAAAAGUGAAUGAAGGUGGGUAGUUUACAGGCUUAAUUUGUGAGUCGUGUUCAUGAAUCAAUGAAACUGAAUCUUUGCUGAGUGUAGCAUUAGAUCAGAUUUCUUUUGGACAACAUACUGUUAGUUUUUCUUUUCCCAUUAUUUUCGAAGACUUUAUGAUCUAUGACCAUGAACUUAAUUAUCAAAAAAGAAUUAUGACCAUAACACAUGGUAUUCUUCCAGUUUUGGUGUGUAUCAACUAGACAAAUGUGCUCUUGACACUAGGGGUAAGUGUUGUGAUUGUUUUAAUGUAUGAUAACAUAAGGGUAAAAUUAACUAGAUCCAAGUAGGUUUCACUACAGCAUACCUGAUAAACUUAAGAGAUGCAAAAUAUUGAAACAAUUAGCAAAAGAUGAUAUGAUUCCCAAGAACAACCUUUUGUCAUCCUUGAAACUGGUUUUCAUAUUAUUACAUGUACUUUUCUUUAGAAAGCAUCCGUACUUGAUUGUCUUUGGUGAAAAUCUUCCUUUGAAAUUCAGUCUAGCUUAUUUAUGAAAGUAGCAAGUAUUUUGAUGUUCCAGUCGGAAUGUAACAAAGAGUUCUCGUGUGUGCGCGCGUAUAUGUUUUGUGCGUGUGACCAUGGUAGGAUUUAAUUUUUUGAAGGUAUGGCUAAGCAAUGUUCCUCACACAUGCUUGGGUGGAAACAAAGGAAGCCAAAAUUGGAUUAUAAAGAUAAAAGUCAAAUUAAAAUUUCUUGUAGAUCGAACUCAGUAUAUUCAUGAUCAAUCAGAACUUGAAUCAUAUCUCUAAGACUUCUAGUUUUCUUCAUAUGUAUACCCCAAGAACUUCUCAUAAGCUUAUCAUUUUCCUUUCCAAAUGUGUCUUCUUCUUGCCCUAAUUGUGCGGAUGGUUCCAGAUAUUGCACUUGGUUACCAAACGAGAGUUGAUUUUGAUGCUCCUCAUUGAGUCCCAAGUUUUGUUGCUUUCUCAUACGAUGCUGAUGAGAACCAGAUUCGAUUUCCUCUCGAAUAGGGUGCAUCUGGAAUGGUAGCACUUCUGCAACUCAUUGAUCAUUAAAUCUGAAACAGGCAUUUGACUUAGUUCAUUGUUCAAUACAUCAAAUAAAUUGGAUUCAUGAGACAAAUGUCAGUUCUUAUAUGUGAGUUCUUAUAUGUUAUGACUGCUGUUAGGGAUUUCCUUCGAUUAAAGUUUAUGAACUCUAUGUUGAAUCUUCAUGUUUUUAUAGAAUUCUUGGUUACCAUAGCAAAAAUUCAAGAUUCUCCAUUAUAGAAUUGUUGUUCUUAUCAUAUAAUUGCUUUUUAAAUUGGUUUCCUACUUUUGAUGAAGAUGGAAUUCUGCUUCUUGAUGUCAACAUAAUUCUAGGAGCUGGAGAUUACUGUACAUGGGCAGCACUACCAGUUUACACACAAGGAGAGCCAACAGAAGGUGUGGGCAGGUAUAUCCUCCCAGAAUAAUCUAAGGAAAUUGCAUUAUGCGGCUUCCAUGUUUAGAAUCAAUUCCCCAAGUUUCCGCAUGUUGUUCAUAGCCUCCGUUUGCUUCAUUUCUUGAUCGUAUCCUUUUAUGUUUUUGCAAUGAUCAAAGCUGUUUAAAACUACAUAAAGUUGCCUUUUAUGUUUCUUGAUAUUUGAAUUAGGUCUAUCCUGGAUUCAUCAAACACCAUGUUGGUGAAAGUUUGAUAACUUCUUCUAUGAUUUAUUUUUUACUAUUAUUUUUGCCCCUGUGGUUUGCAAGUGAUUGGGCGUGUAUGUGCUUAGGGGAAUAUCUAUAUAUACUUAAAACACGAUGUUUGUGUCGUAAUGUUGAUCUGAGUCUUGUUGAGAAUCAAGGAAAAUGCCUUUCGCUAUAACAAAGUUACUUCAUUAAUUCCAUUUCGUUCUCAUUUUCUUAAAAAUAUUUCAUGGUGUGACUUUGUCCAGUAUCUACAUCAACUUGUUUUAGAUCAAGCACAAUCUUUUGCUAAACAUUGGCCAUAACUGAUCCAAACAUCUGUUCAUGAUCCAUCAGGUCGUUCGUCACUGACAAAGGUAGUCGAAAGCCCUCGAGGAAAAGAAGGGAAUGCUGUAAAAGGUGAAACUCUAAUGUCACCAUACAAAUUUGCCACCUUCAUUGUAAUCAACAACAGAAAAGAAAUGAGAAAAGCCAUAGAGAUUCUGGUCAUCUUAAUGAUUUCUCAUCUCCAUCCUCCUCCCAGGUUAGCAACGCCGGCGUUUUUGCUCUUUCACCGCCAGUCAAGGCAAUCUGGUGCUGCUACGGGGAAGCUCAAGAGAUAUAAGAGAAUAAUAGUAAGUCUUUCAGUACUACGAAUUCUUCCUCGUCGGCGCCCUUUUCCAUUUCUCUCUUAGGUCGACGACGACCACGCUGAUGUUAUCUGCGCUGUGCCUCGCAAAGGCCAGCUUUGUCAGCAGUACGGCCGCGUCCGAGCACGAUGCAUCGCCGCCAGCGACUUCCUCUUCUUCGUCGCCGCCGCCCUGCAGGCACAUCCUUGCGAUGUCGCAGGCCGUCUCGUUGCUCACCACGUCCCACAGCCCGUCGCUCGCCAGGAUCAGGCACUCGUCGCCCUCCUCCCUAUCCAACACCGUCACCUCCGGCUCCGAUAUCACGUACGGCUUCAAAUAACUGUCCCCUGUUUUUAUGGUUCAUGUUUUUACGAUCGACUGAUUAACCCCACAGACUUCCAGAUACUCGGAUGGGGGAGGGAGAAGAAACAGCGGACUUGGAGCUUACCUAUGGCUCGAGACAUGGCGAGCACGCCAAGAACCCUCGCCCCGUCCCAAUAGAUCACUCGACCCCCAGCGGCUUCGAUCCGCUGCAGCUCGUCCUCUCGGUCCGGCUGCAAAAUUUGCACAUCAUCAGAACCAUUACUUGUGUCGGCUGCCCGCGGGCUAAUUUACUGGUGGAAGGAGAAAAAAGAGAUCCCUUUCCCUUCGAUACCUUGUGGUCGGAAGAGAGGGGGAUGGGGGCGCCGUUGCGGCAGAGGACGGCGCGGGAGUCGCCGCAGUUGGCGACGACGAUCCGGGUGGGGCUGACGACGGCGACCACGGCGGUGGAGCCCACGUGGUCACACCUCGGCGGCUGGAGCUCGCAUCGGCAGUCCUGGCUCGGGCGCUCACCGCUCCCGUUCACCGCCUCCGCGUCCACCCGAGCGAAGCUCCUCUCCAUCGCCACCCUCCAUGCCUGCGGCGAUGUAGCGGCACCCGACGCAAGCGUCUCUACUUCCUCCGCCACCACCUCGUGCAUCCGAUCGCUACACAGCGACGCCACCUGCAAAGCACGGAAGAACAGAUCAGCUACUGGAGAAGAACAGGAAGAGAGUUGGAAAGGGACAAGGGGCCUAUCUUACGUGAGAGCAGCCAUGACCAUCAAAGACGCCGAAGAAAUGGUGCCUCGCCGAAACCCCAUCGUCUCGCCGAACAAAGUCGGGACGGAUGGAGACGGCGUCCUCCAUGUCCCUCCUCCGCCCGCAGACCGCAGCCAUCCCAAACCUCGGGCGCCGACCGGACGUCCCCAAUUCCGCGGACGCCAUAAUGGGAGGCUCCAGACUCGGGCUCCCACCCGGUGUCGUUCCAGACUUUUCCGCGCUCCCGGAGGAGCUGCCGCCAUCCAUCCUCUGCCGCUUUUCACUGGGUUCGUCCUCCACCGCUGGUGCCUCCACCCCGGCGACGAAGCUGAGCCGCCGGAUCUCCAUCCGGCGCCGCCUCGCCGCGCGUGAUACCGGCUCGCAGGACUUCAAAGCCGCCGUCUCCACGCCACAACAGAUCUCCGCCAUUAUCGAGGUACACACAAGAAAAUAGAAACAAAACUUGGUACCCCUCGCUCUCUCUCGCUCUCGAAUUCGAACCGGUGGAAGGUAAAAGAGAAGCAGCCGAGGGUCAGCCGUGGCUCCUCAGAAAUAAGUCACACUCAGCACACUACGCCGACGAGUCUACCCGCCUUCUCAUUGGGCAAGAAGGUUUCUCAAUCAGUUGGUCCUACACGAAUAGCGUCGUUUUCUCCAACCGAAAUGCAGGAAGAUGAGACGGUGCCCAGAGACGUAUAAGAAAGACGUGGCUGAUGGUUUGCUUCCACGUGCCACCUGUUCCCCAACAGAGCGGACGAAUCCGAAGCGUCCAUCGUGGUCGGUCUCACCUCUCUCGCUCCUCUUCUCGACGCGUGUGCAGGCGUGGGUUGGGAGGCGAAAGCGUCGUGGCUUAUCUGACACGCGUGUGGUCCCCGAAUACGAAAAGGUAAUGCCACUAUUAUAAAUUAAACCGGAUCGAUCGGUCGGGACUCGCCUCGCCUUUCGAUCAAACGGUGUGGGAACGCAUCACGUGGAUGCUUCGGCGCCGUACACGAUUGCUUCGGUUCGAUUUCUCCAGUUUUAUAUAUAGGGUGGCAACAGCGCAUGUAGACAUGGGAUGGGAGCGACAUAAUAAUAUUAGUAACGACAACAGCAACAACAAGAAUAACGCCUACUCCAGCCAGUAAAAUACCAUGGUCGGCGGACUCUGUGAUCGACACGCGUCCUUGAUGGCGUGUCUUCGAGUCACGUUCCUCUGACUUGGAUUAACAAACCUCAGACUCUUUUUUAAUGGAAUUGAGACGUAGCUAUUUGUAUUAUAAUCGGUGCCCGGAUAUGAGUUGAUCCGAUCGGAUGUGGGUUGUGUUCGACCAUGCGAACCACCCGAUAGACGGGUCAGGAUUUCGGACCCUGUGCAGAUACUUUAGCAAACGGGUCGGAUUAGGCCGAAACAGUUCGAGUAUGACCCGGUAGUGGAUGGUAUGUUCAUCGGCUCUUAAUAUGAUGGUACCAGCUAAAACUGAAGGUAUUUGUAAAUUAUAAUUUACAUAUAUAUUUAAGUUAAUUGUUGAUCAGAACUCCAAUUUUCACUAAUAUAUUUUGAAUGAAAAAAAACUCAAUAUGAUGCUAAAAAUAUUAAGGAUAUUUUAAAUAUUCUAAACCCUGUAUAGUUUUUAUUAUGAUAUAUCAAUAAUAACCGUGAAUAGAAGUGAUAAACUUGAGUGUUUUGGAGGUAUCAUCAAAAUUUAUAAUGAUUAUUAUUAUAUUAUGUUUUAAAUUUAACAAGGAUAUAUAUCAAAAGAACUUUUUCCCCGCACCACACAAUUUUUAAGUCAAAUCAAGAAAAAGUAAAAAGUAAAAGAGAUCGAUGGAUGCCCCACCCCCACCCCCACUCACGAGAAAAAAGGUGAAAUUAGAGACUGAUACUUGUACAUUUGAUCAUCUCCAAGAAAAGAAGCUUUCCAUGGUCGAUCACCCCGAAAUGCUAUCAUUGAGAGGUGAUGGGCUUAUUGUGUGAUCAAAGAUCAACCACGAAGACUCAGUCGCAAUAAUCCCUGUUUAGCUGUGUUGUUGUCGUCAAGAAGAAGACGUACCACUUGCGAUUCAAGGUUUGUCAACUUAGAGCUCCUCCAAUAACUUAUUAUAACACUAAAUCCAACCGAUACAUGAUGACCACAUAAUAGAGGCAGACAAAACACAGGGAACCUAUUUAGGUAUCACAUAACCAUGGUAAACGCAUCUCGGCAGCCAACGGGCCAACCACAAAAACGGUUUUAUUUGGAGGAGAUCGCCGUGGCUUCGGGUUGGGUUUAGAGGUUGCCGUUGACAGAUUUACCACCGUCGACGCAGAUGACUUGGCCAUUGAUGUAGCAAGCAGCAGGGAGGCACAAGAAAGCCACCACAGCUGACACCUCCUCCGACUCGGCCACGCGCCCGAGAGGGAUGCGGUACGUCUCCUUCGCCACGAACUCCUCGAUCGCAAGCAACUGUGUUGGGGACGCAAACAUUUAAGUUUGGAAUCCAGGCAUUUCAUCAACUAGGUGGUGGCGGAGGAGGUCAUUACCGGUUCCAUGAGAGGGGUUCUAACGGAGCCGGGCGCGACGCAGUUGGUCCGGAUGUUGUCCUUCGCCCACUCGCAGGCCAGGCUCCUGGUGAGCUGGUUCAGCGCCGCUGGAGAAGAGCAAGCGAGAGUCAAGUUGCUGGAGAUCUCGAAGAGCUCCAAGAGCUCGACGAGUAAUCGAGUACGUACCUUUAGUUGCUCCGUAGAUGGUUAUGUUGUCAAUGCCGACGAUGCCGGCGAGCGAGGAGACGUUGACGAUGGUGCCUGCUCCUGAUGCCUUGAGCAGGGGGUGGGCGAGCUGGGUCAGGUGGAACGCAGACUCCAGGUUGGUGCUCAUCAUAAACUUGUACUCGUCAGGGGUUAUGGCCACCAUCGGCUUCACAAACCCCGUCCCUGCGUUGUUGACCUACACGACGAGCACAACAAGUUCACAAGCAGCUCAAAUCACGAGUGGAGAUCUUUUUGUCGCUCACCAGGAUACUGAGCUUUCCGCCGAAGGUGGACUUGACGUCCUCCAUUAGCUUCUCUCGAUCAGCUUGGCACGAGACAUCGCAGACGGAGCCUGUGACCUUAAAGUUCUUCGCCCCCCAUUCUUUCAAGCACUUGUUGAGCUCUGCUUCGUUUCGGGAGCAGGUGUGGAUGGCUGCUCCGAAUCUAGCUAGUUCCUCGACUAUGGCAUACCUGGAAGGCGGACAACAGAGCUCAGUUCAUGGUGGCCGAUCACGAACAAGAAAAUAAACCCUGCAGCUGCUAGAGAGAUGUAGACAUGA